AAUUUUUAUUUGAUAUGUUAUAGAGAGCUCAUUUAUUAAAUGAGCAGACUGCCAUUGGACAUUCUAGCCUGGUCUGGAGAGACUAAACUGCUCCUACAAAAGUGGCAGCUGCAUGGCAUAUCACAAGCCCAUGUGUACUACUGAGGAUGAUAAGGUAGGUUCUUACUUUGUCCCCACACUGCAGAAUGUUCUGCAACUCCCCUUGGGUUCUUUGGUCACAAAUGGCAGCUUAUACCUAGCAAAGGGAAAAUCAUCAUCAGGUUUUAGGAAUUGCUCUUCUUUUUCUCUGAAGGUUCUCAGACAAAUCCCUCUGCCUACUGAUACUUUAUUUUCACAAACAUCUGAGAAAGUUUGUAUUAAAUGUGAAUUUUAAUUUGUAUUGAUGUAGAUGUACAGUGAACUGAAAAUGGUAUUAAACUGAAGCAGGUAUGUAGAGCUACCUUAAGAGCUUCCAUUGACAAAGGAUCCUUUCCCCUUUUUGUUUGGAAAUGUACAAUGUAUUUUAAAACAUUUAAUUAAAGUAAUGUUUUCUGUAUUUUUAGUUAUCUAUUUUUGCUGGAGGUUUGCCUUUUGUUUUAUUUUCCUUUUCUGCAACUACUGCUGAAUGUAACCUGUUUAUGAAUCUUCAAAGCAUUCUUUUAUCAUUUCGGAGGUACUUCCUUUUUUAAAGCCUUUUUAGUAGUUAAAUAAUUUUUCCAUAGGUUGUUACUGCCAAGAAUAACUUUUUCAAAUAUCACAUGAUUAUUUGUUAGACAAGGUCACAUUCAGACACCAAAAAGUGUGGAUAGGAAAGUACAAAUAUCAAGAGGUAGAUUUUAUUGGUAAGAAAGCUGAUAUUUCAUUCUAGCUAUUUGGUGAAUGGAUUCUGUCUCCCGUAUCUCUCUCUGUUUCUCUCGCCCCUCCCUCUGAAACACUUAAAAUGUAUUCCUCUGUUUUUUGUAUUGGCAAAAACAUGACUGGAAUACAGAAGUCUCAUAGCACAAUAGUUUUUAUGGUAACCCCCAAUUUAGCUUAAACUAUAUAACGAUGUCAAGUAUAGUAAGUAUAAUAGUAAUGAUAUUUAAGAAAAGAAUGACUUUAAUUCAGUAGUUACCAUCUCAAAUAACUAAGGUUGGCUUCAGGGAUCUGACACUGGUGGAAGAUGUCCUUUCUUUCCUCCCUCCUUCAAGUCUACAUAGUAAAGAAUAGUUUUCCUCUCCUAGCAUUGACUUCUUUUCCAUCUCUUUAAAAAUAAUUAAUAAUAUAUUUAAUUUAGCUCACUAUUCCCAAAGUAUUAACAUUUCAAUAUAUGAUCAGUAUAAAAACUAUUAGCGAGAUACUUUACAUUCUUUCCCCCCCCCACUAUACUAAAUCUAAUUUGUGUUUUAUUUAUACUUUAAGCCCAUCUCAACUUGGACCACCCACACUUCACAGGUCCAAUAGCCACAUGUGGCUAAUGGCUACCAUAUUUAAGAGCUCUCGUUUAUAUAUAUUUUAGAGCAGUUCUAGAAUAGCCUUACUUUAUAACUAGUUUAGCCCUAAAAGUCUGGCACUUCCUGGGUCUGUUUCAUGGGGUGUUUUCAUUCUGUUGGAACUUUAACACCUCCCAUUCCUGUGUUAGCUCUUGAGAAUUGUUCUGCUUAUAGCCCUCAGUAGUUUUCCCCCCUGUAAUUGUUUUCUUCCAGGGUCUUAAGAGUCUUACUGCCUCAUGUCCACAUAGUAUUUAGUAAGAGUCUCCAGAGAACUAAUGUAUAGAUCUGGAGCGAUUUUUCUUUCUUUUUUAUUAGUAUGUUUUAUAUUUUUAAAAACGUAUUUUUAUCAAUACAUUAUAGUUACAUAUAAUAGUGGAAUUUGUUAUGCCAUAUUCAUACAUUAGUGCAUUUUAACCAUACAAAAAAUUUCAUUGUGGCAUAUUUAUACAGGCAAAUAACAUUACCUUGAUCAUACCUCCCAUUUCCCUCUUAUUCUCCCCUCCCUCUUCUCCCCCACCCCCUUACUUACCUCUAAUCAUCUCCCUGCUACUUUCAUCUUUUUCUCCUCCCUCCAUUCCACACUUCAGGGAAAACAUGAGAAACUUUCCCCUCUGAGUCUGGCUUUUUUCAUUUAGCAUAAUAAUCUCCAGUUCUAUUUUCUUACAAAUGACAUGAUUUCAUUCUUUAUGGCUGAAUAAUACCUGGAGCUGUUUUCUGCAUAGUGCCCUUCCUUCUAGUACUCUGCAUUGCAAAGUCCAGCAGCUACAACCUCCUCUGCUCUCAUCUCUGUCUUUCAUUUUAGCAAGAUGACUGUGCUUUGCUUAGGGCCCCACCUGGACUACCAUCUAAAAAGUGCCUUCAGAUACAAAGUCUGAGUGAUCAUAGGACUCUCCUCAUUCAUUUCUCUUCUCUAGGGCUCAAAGUUGGUGCUGCCUUGUCCAGCUUUCUAUCUGUAGAUAGCAGGAGGGCAAGACUAGGACUGGUUAUUCUUCACAGCUAUUAGAUGAACUCCCAUUUGCAAGGCAAAAUUGACUUUAAGAACAUCUCGUACCCACUCUGAUGAGUUCCAACCAAGAACUCUGGGUUCUUUUAGGAGGAGGAGGAAGUUUGAGUUCAGUGGUGUGACUCUUCUCUUGGCUCCACCCAGGAGUCCCAAGCAUGAUAGCUUCCAUAUCAAUAAUCACAUCUGUGUUCCUGAAUUGAAGUGGCUCCUUGGUUCAAGUCACCCCUAUUCUGGUGAACCUGGUCCAAUUUGUGGUGGGCAUCCUGGGUAUGAGCCGCAGAAAAAAGGGUAUUUGCAGAAGGAGGUCAUAGCUCACAUUAUGGCCUUGCAUACUCAAACAUAUUGAUGUUCUUCAUUGGCAUGCCCAUAGAAUUUUCCCAUCUCUGAUUUGAUCAGACAUUUUGUAGGUUUUGAAUCGUCAGUUUCUGCAAAAUGUCUAGAUAAUGCACAAGAUGAAGGCAAUUUUUUCCUCAGCACUACACAAAAAAAGAAUUUGUUUCCAUAUUAAUUCCUAGAUGAUAAUUUGUCUGGAUUUAGAGUUCUACACUAGGCUUCUGGAAAUGUAGCUUGGUAGAAGAGCACUUGCUUAGCAUGCUCCAACCAAGACCCUGGGUUCAAUUCCCAGACCAAAAAAAAAAAAAAAAAAGAAAAAUAGAAAAGAAAUAAUGGUGGGGUUUUUUCUUUCUUUGUUUCUUUCUUUCUUUUUCUUUUUUUUCUUUCCUUCUUUCUUUCUUUUUUUUGAGAUACAGUCUCACUAAAUUGCAGAGGCUGGUCUCAAACUCAGCAUCCUCCUGCAUGAGCCUCCUGAGUAGCUGGGAUUUCAAGUGUAUACAACAAUGCCUGGCUUGAAGUUCUUUUUAGAAUUGCUUUGCUUGCUUAAUUUUAACUGCAGUGAUUUCAUGCCAGUUUUGUAGAUUGUCUUUCCUCAUGUGAUUUCUUUCAUUUACUUUUAAUUUGGUUUGUAGAUUGAACUUAAAUGACAGAUUGUUUUUCUAUUUCUCUGCACUGGUUUUUCUCCCUGGCUAGUAGUUUUGUGAGUUCUUAAACUAGAUCUUCUAGAGUCUCCAGCUCUGAGCCAGGAUUAAUGGAUCUUGGGGCUCAUGCCUCUUGGUGAUAUCGGGGCUAUAGCAGAUUCACUCCUGCAUUUGGGGGCAGUUUGGCUCAGCUACUUACCAUGGGGUUGAUCCUAGGUCUUCUGAGCUCCUCAGGACACACUUAAUAGAUGUCAUAGUUCCAUCAAGCAUUUUGUAGUAGCUUUGUUUUAACUGACUUUUUUUUUUUUUUUUUGGUAUGAGGGAUGGAACCCAGGGAUCCACCUCUGUUACGUAGUAUUUUCACUGAGCUACACCCAGCCCAGGCCCAGAUAUUGAGAAGGAAGCCUGGUUCCUAUUUUUGGCCUCAGGUGGGGCACAUCUGUUUUCCACUAAAUCUGAGAUCAGGCUCGCUUUGCUCUCAGGUACUGACCCAGUGAGACUAUGGCUUGUGCCCAAGUCAUCAUCUCUCUCAUUCUUAUAGUGAGAAAGGAUUUAUUCCAUUAAAAAAAAAUAAAAGGCUACUUGUCAAAAUAAUAGUGACAAAGGACCUGCAAUCAUUCCUGACCUGACUGUACAUCACAACAUCCAGAAGAGGUAACUUCACUUCUAGCCAUUUUUAUUGAACUGUCUGGGUAAUAAGCAGACUUGAAUCAAUGGCUAUGGUGGAGGGAAUGGGCUAUGCUAAUUGUCUUAAUCCACAGCCCCAUUCUUGGAAAGCCUAGGGUAGGAUCAUUUUUCCUUGAGGUCAUAAGAUGUAGGAGGGAAGAAAACUUUUGUUAAGAGGGUGAAAGGCAGUUCUGGGUGAGAACACGAGGAUGUUUUUGGGUACCCAACGCAACCUAACUUAAACAAUAGAAAAUUGUAUUACAUCAUAUGACGAGCUAACCAAAGAUCUGGCUCACUGAUAUGUCGAUGCCUGCUGUGCCAGCUCACAAGAGCCAAUUGUUACAUAUUUGGGAAUUCUGAAAGCCAGUUGUUAAACUGUUGGUAGCUAGAUAUUGCCAGGGUGGGUGUAUUUAUACUACAGAAGUUGGCAAAGACUACAAAUGAGGCAUUCUAGCUUCUUCAGUAUUGGAACACCAUUAGACAGCAGACAAGGUUAAUUAUUUCAGUGACUCAAUGCUAUUAGGAACACAAAAUCUUUUCCUGGCUCUUCAAUUGGUAGCCACACCACUGGUUUUAGACCAGGCCUCGUUUCCUGCAAGGUCACAGAAUGGCAACAAGAUUUCCUUAUUCAUAUUCCAUAGCAAAGAAAGAAAAUAUUUCAGAUGUAGACUGAAACAUUUUGGUAUGACUGAUCCAGCUUUCAUCCUUUGCCUACCCGUGUUGCCUGCCAUAUGCUGAUUGGCCUAGGCAAAUUAGGAUCCACCUCUGGAGCAGGGGACAGGAUUAAUAUCUAAGUUUUUAUGAGUUAUGAGAAAAGGCAGAUCAAAUUUGAAAUUCUUUUAGGAAAAUAAAAGGAUAAGAUGAAUGCUGGAUAAUGUCCCUGUAGAAGGAAACCAACAAUAUCCUCUAAGCAGAUUGUCCAUGUUCCACAGCAAGUGGAGUAUGUGUUUUUUAUAGAAAAACCAUGGAUCCUGGAACAGUAAGAAUUUAGUUGUCAUUGGUCCUACCACCUCUGCCUAUCCUUCUACCCCCAGCUUUGGUAGCCUGAGGACAGACACCUGUAGGCAGAGAUGUGGGAGGCCAUGUGCCACAUUUGUUAGCAGGUGAUCACCAGAUGAUCUAAAGAUACCAAUAGUGUCUACUACAGAGAGCAGGAUGCUGAGAUGCCCAGAUUAGAAGGACUAAGCUGUCUCAUGGGAGAACUCACGCUGUGUUUAAAGGUCCUGGGUGGUUGGGUUUGAUUUAGUAAGAACAUCUUGAUUGGGGAACAGGAGAAUGCAUUUUGAAUACAGAUUAACAUCUAUUGCUCAAAUCUCUUGCCAGCUCCAGCCUUGGAUGAAUACCUGGACCCUAGGCAAAGAGAAGACAAUAAAGUUAAAAGAACCAUUUGACUAGGCUCUGUAAAACUCUGGUCCAUCCUGGUGUAUGAAGGCAGGUUUAUCUGAUCCACCCCUCCUUUUCUUUCCUUCUUUUUUCUACCUUCCAUAACACACACUGACUGCCCAAACUACCAUCACACUCCGAUGCAAUGAAGCCUCCAUUCUAGUCAGAGGCCAAGCCCUGUGGGGCCUGGUGAAGCAGUGGGGAAGGACCUCCACCCCUGGUAGAGCGAUGAAGGAACCUCCCGGAGCCGCUGGAAGACCCCCAAAGACUCACACACCACACACACACACACACACACACACACACACACACACACACCAGGCCACACUUCAGUCGGAAAAUAUUUAUCAUCAGUAAAAUGAUGGCCAACCUCUGUCUUUCUUCCCCUUUUUAUUCUUCUCUUUUCCUCCAUCCCAUGCUUUUGCCUGGUCCUUUGCCUUCUAUCUGUCACAUUUUCCUGUGAUGGAAGCCAUGGUGGCAGGAGUGUGAAUAUCCCUACCUUUCACAUCCAAACUGUCACCAGGUCCUGUGGAUUCGACUUCCUCAAUACUCUUGACUCCAUCUUCCUAUUUCAGCACACUCCCUGCCCCCACCUUCUUCCUGGCUAUCCUAUCUUGGAUUAUUGUAAGAUUUAGCUUCUUAACUGGGUUUCCUGCAUUCACUCUCACCCUCCAAUUCAUACUGCAAAAACAGACACCGUGAUUUUGCCAAAAUGGCAAAACUGGUUGUAUUACUUGCCGGCUUGAAAUCCUCCCCUGGCUUCCUACUGCCUUAGAAUAGAGGCUACCCCUGGUGCACAAGGCCUGGUAAGACCCAGUGUCCAUAGCUCUCUCUUUAGCCUCCUUUGCCAACACCAACCUUCCAGACCAGUGCCCCCUGCUAGAUCAAACCUCUCUGUUCUUUGAAGCUGUUCUUCCUUGUCUGUGACCUUUGGCUUUCCUGCCCUUUCUCACCACCUCCCGUUUUGCCUGGCUAUGUCCAAUUUAUCCCUCUGGUCUCAGCUUAAAUGUCACUUCCUGUGGAAUUCCUACCCUGUGCCAUCUAAGCCAGACACUGAUAUUUGUUCACACAUUUUUGUAGAUGGUUGUUUAUCUUCCCUUUGCCAGUCCACAAGCCACCUGUGGGCAGAAAUCAUGAUUAGAGUAGGCAUUCAAUUGAUAUUUCUUGAAUGAAUCAGUUUAUGAGGAAAUACGUGCAGGCGGCAGUCAUUUCUGUUGCAUUGUGACUGGAUUUGGUAGGGAAGUUAUAGAGAGUGUUAGUGAGGCUGAUCUUCUUAAAGAACGAAUAAGUUAUCCAUUUAGUGCAAUAUAGGUAUUAUAUUAAUUUAAUACAUUUAAUCAUCAUGAAGGAUCACACAUAGCCAAGGUUGUUUGAGAUUCCCUGCUCCGCACACUGUGUCCUCCAAGCUGGAUUUCCUACUGCUUCCUUGAGGUGCCAUCUGUCUUGUUUUUCACACCAUUACUUACAGCUCACAACUUUGUUCUGCAUAAUCUGCUCUCUGUGCUCUCCUGCUCUAAAAAAAAAAAAAAGCCAAAUCCCACCCCUCCUCAAAGGCCCAGCGAAAGCACUGGAUUGCCAGGAGGCUGCCACCAACUCUGAAGUCAUCUGUGCCUGUCCUUGCAUCCUCCCUGGCAUUCAUGCAGGCACUCCUGUGUUAUCUGACUGGUGGCAUAUAUGCAGAUAUUUUGUCCCCCACCCCUCCAUGUACACUGGAAGGUUCUACAGGGUGGAAAAUAAAUGGUUAGAAGGGCCAGCUCUGAAGACAGUGCAUUUGCAUCUCUGCCAUUCCUAGAUCUUGCCAUCUUGUUUCAAGUCACUUAUCCUCUCUGGGACUGUCCUCCACCUCUAGAAGAGAGAUAGUAACAUAGUUCUUAUCAUGUAGUGCUUCUCUGAGGAUUAAAUGAGACAUUUUACCUAGAGCAUGUGGAGUGGUAUCCGGCAAGUGCUAAACAUAGAUCUGUAGUUACAGUAAUGUCCAGGGUUCUUCAGGCUCAGCCCGGCACAGGACUGGGGCAAUACUGACAUUGAUGCGUGAAGUUGGUUGGUGGAGGAGACCCCACAAAGGGCAAACAGUGUUUGAAUACACAGCACAUUGCAUACAGAGCCUUGAACCUGACUUUAUCAGCUACAGAACUCCUCUGCUUUCCUGCUCUAGAAGUACAAACAAGUCUGUAGUAAAAGGAAGGGAAAUGGCCACAUGGGGGCAAUUGGAGAUCAUAAAAAAUGAAAUGGUCACAUGGAGAGGCUACAACUCCCCUCCUUUCAAUAUUUUCUUUCACUUUCUUCCUGAUUAUGGUGAUGAUGGUGGAGAUGAUGAUGGUGGUGGUGAUGUUGUUGAUGGAGCAGAGAUGGAACAGAAGGGUCACCACUGCAGGAAAUGUGUUUUAACUGCCCAGAGAAAUGACACUGAAGAGAGAGCAGCAAGAAAGCAUUUCUUGUCCUACUUGGCACCAUCCCCCCACCCAUUGCUACUCUGUCAGAACUGUAUGGUGCAAACUUUGGAUUUAUUUUCCUAAAUCUGGAACCUGAAACUACCUUCUCCUCCAUCUAUCUCCAAUGAAAUUUAUUUCAUUUGAAAGCCUCUCCCCAGAGUCUAACAAACUAAACAGCCCAGGAACUUGACCUUAAUAAGAAUGCCUCUCCUCUGCACCUGUGUGGAGACCCCUGUUGACCUGGAAUUCCCUUCUCUCCACCCAUGAAGGUCAAACAUCAUCCCUCUUUCAAGGCUUAGUUGAAGGCUACACCUUUGGGAGGACAUCCCUGGUGUCUCAGGUUUAAGACAUCUUUCUUACUUUAGCAUUCUUGAAACUCAGGCCCAAUUUAUUUAUAGGGGCAAAUAAUGGUUCCUUCAUUUUUUUACAGUAUGGGUUAAAGAUGAUCGUGCACAGCACCUAGCCAUUUCUGGCUCACUUAAAAAUGUAGAUAUAAUUGUAAUUACCACUUUUAUCAUAAUUAACUACAUACAGAGAUCAUCACCCUAAAAGCAAAAGGGCAGGAUUUAGGUCUGAUUAAUCUUGCAUGUUUAGGCAUUCAAGAAAAAUCUGCUGCACAAAUGACCACACAUAAGGAGCCAAUCAAUCCCCUAAUUUAUUCCUGAAACAAUACAAGGGACAAAUGAUUUAUUGUCUGUGCAUGUUUGGUGAUGAUGAAUUUGCAGUAUAACCCAGUGGAUACAUGAUUGUUUUCCUUCUGAGUAUUAAACAAUUCAUCAUCAUCUAGAAAAAUUAAGAGAGAGGUAGGGAGAGAGAGAGAGUUGAAGAAAGAAGAUCAUAUUACACAUGUUUAGAGUCUUUUUUUAAAAAAUAUAUUUUAGUUGUAAAUGGACCUUCAUUUUAUUUAUAUGUGGUGCUGAGACUCAAACCCAGGGCCUCACAUAUGCUAGGCAAGUGCUCUAAAAGUGAGUCACAACCACAGCCCCUAUAACCUGUUUUUUACUGAGUGAUGAGUCACAGAUGAUUAUAUAUAUAUAUAUAUAUAUAUAUAUAUAUAUAUAUAUAUAUAUAUUUCUUUUAAAACACAAUAUUCAUUUUUUUUGGUACUAGGGAUUCAGUCCAAGGGUGCUCUAAACUAAGCCACAUUUCCAGCCCUUUUAAUUUUUUAUUUUGAGACAGGAUCUUGCUAAGUUGCUUAGGACCUUGCUAAAUUGCUGAGGGUGGCCUUGAACUCUUGCCUCAGGAUCCUCUUGCCUCAGCCUCCUGUCCUGCUGGGAUUAUAGGUAUGCACCACUGUGCCAGGCUCUCAAUAUCCUUCUUGUAUGCAUAAUAUUUUGCUGGUUUAAGAUAUUAUAAUUUAUUAAAUUACAAAUGUUAUCAAAAUUUUGCUAACAUGUAAACACCAUACAGAAAUGUGAAGAUAUUUAACCACUAUGGACCAUUAACACUUUAGUUUCUACUUGACUCUUUCACCUUAAGCUAAAGACUUUGCUGAAAUUGGGUAUAAGUCGGCUAGGUCUGUAGGCUCAGGUGACCACAGCAUGCAGGUAAUUCAGAAAAGGUAGACUAUGGACAAAGAAUGAAGAAGAACUGGUUGAUGCUGGAAAAGGAUAUUGGUAGCUAUAUCUGAAUCAGUCCGGUUUGGGGCUUUGGGUUUCUCUAACUCUCAGCCCUCAGUACAGCGUAAGUCAUGUUCCAGGGUGCAGGUUCUGGAGUUGCCUCUAGUAGAAUAAGUUUGUCUUCAUGUUGCUCAGUGCUAGGCAAACAGCCAACUGAUAAAUUAUGGGGUUGAAUAAAAUACAGGGAAAAUAGUGAAAGAAGGGGGAAAUUAACCUUAUUGAGUGCUUGGUAUGUGUCAUUCUAUACACUCAUACAGAAAAGUAUUUGACAAAAUUCAGUAUCUAUUCAUGAUAAAAAUUUUCACAGAACUAGGAACAGAAUGGAAUUUCCUCAACCCGGUGAAGGACAUCUAGGAAAAAGCUAUGACUAACAACUACUCAUUCUCCUUCCAAUGGGCCUGUUAUCUCCACUCUCCAGAUGAAGGAGGUGAGGGAGGAAAAGGUCAAUUCACUCUCACCUAAAGUUACACAACUGGAAAGAGUCAGAAAAUUCUAAAAACUCCGCAGGAUGUUAUCAAGAAAAACUGUAAUCUCUCAAGGUCUUGCUAGGACUCUAAAAUCAUGUCUAACUUCUCCCUGUCUUGAGGGCUGGGUUUGAUUAAUAGGGCUUAAGCAGCAACUUGGAGAUGCCUGACACAAAAUGAUGUCAGAUUCACUCUGGAGAUGAAGCUGGCUGUUCAUCAGACAUGGUUUGGGAGAUGUGAUUUAAAGGGAGUAAUGAGGUGAUUGCAUUAGCAUUAGCCUCAUUUAUAUGUUCACUCAGUUACUCCCUCAUUCCAUCAAUGCUCACUGCACUGUGCAGUGAGCAGGUACUGUGCUAGGUCUGGCCUAUUUUCAUGGCCACCUCCAGUUAAGAGGCAGACAUUAAUGGAAUAAGGACAUGGUCAAAUGCCCCUAGAAGAGAAGGCGAAGGGGAGCCCACCCAGAGGAUUCCACCUCAUGUGUGAAGUCAGGAAAGCCUCCAGUGUCUGAGAUCUCAAGCAAGGAAAAGUGUGCAGCAGGAGCAAGUGAGAGGGGAGACUGAAGGAAGCGCAGAGGGACCACCAAGAGCCUGGAACCCAGCAGGGAGUGGUCCUCACUGGCUGUACUGUGUGGCAGCAGAGGAAGUGCGAUGAUCAUUUGCAGAACUCAAGGCUCAGCAGUCAUUGACAAUUUGCACAGAUGCCUAGGAUGUCUGAGCAGCUUUUUGUUAUUUGUUAUUUGACUGAUUGUUUCCUGCCUGCCUGGCCACACAGCACUGGCUGUGUUUGGGAUUCUCUGGGUAGGUCUGUGAUCUUCAGUGAAGAGUCUGCCAGUGUGAACCACUUUGAUGUUUUCUGAGCGAAUCUGCAGGGGUAAGUUUGCUGGAGUCCAAGGAGAGAAUGAGUUUUCUUAUCUCUGAACUCCAGGGAGUUUGACAACAGGCUGUGCUUUGCUUGUAGAUGGCCACAAGAUGGCAGUGUCUCUCCAGUACCUGGUUAGCGCCUGUUUGUGUUAGACAUCCCUAUGAAAUACACGCAAGUCAUUUCAUAUUUUGAGCCAUGAUUUUUUUCCAGCGGAGGAGCAGAUUAGUAGAUCAAGGAUUGAAUCUGGAAUAAAUUAAGUCCACGUUCAAAUUUUAAUUCCUUCAUGAAUUAAUCUUAUAACCUUGGAUUUAACAUCUCUAAUUCCCCACUGCCUCCUUUAAUCUUUAGAAUGAAGAUACACCUCAUCAGCCCUUCAUAAAAUUAUGAGGCAAAAAUAGAAACUAUGUGUGCAAGUAUAAUAAAUUAUAAUGCACCAUGACAUUUGUCCUUAAGCUUUAAUAGACAUAAGAAUCACCUGAGCACAUUUCUGAAAUUAAUACUCUUGGGCUGAACUUCCAGACAUGUUUCAGUAAUCUCCUGCUCUGAUUGAGAAUCUGCAUAUUGGUUCAUAUUAGUCUGUAGGUAUCAAGACGUGGGGAAGGCCCUCGGACUACAAUGUGGAAAACCACAUUACACAAAUACCAAUGAUAGAAAUUGUCCUUAGUUUCCCUUAUAAUGGCAUUCAAAUUUUUCUAUUACAAAAUCCCUACUAUUAGAUUAACUAAAGGAAGGCAGAAACCUACAUUUUACUCAUCCUCUUAUAUUCAUAGAAAGUACUUGGAAAUGUUUCUUGGAUGAUGAACAGCUGGCAAUCUGUUGAGCAUCCCCAGCAGUGCCAGACCAUUUAUGGGAAUAUUCAGGAAACAGGACCUAACUGAUUCAAUAGAAUUGCCCUGGAUUUUGCCCUUGAACCCCCAUAGUCUUAUCUUUGCUUCUAAAUGAGGGACCCAAUGUCUUCUGGUAAUGGCUGGAGCACAGGUUUUACUCUUUACUCUGCCCUGAGGAAGUUUAGCAAUGAAAUUCCACAAACCUCCUGAAGUUCUUUGCCGCUGCUGUUACGGACCAGCACUAGCAGGGUUUUCAUGGUCUCCAAGAAAAGACUAAGCCCCUUAUUUCUUCUAGAUGCUUCCUGUGGCACUGUUUGCCUCGAAGACAAAGUUGGUUCCAGGGUAAGUAUUAGCAGGAGAGACCUGCGUGCCCUCUGGCCCUUGGCCCCAUGGCCAGGUUGUAAUUGCUUGGAUGCCAUAUCCCUAGCACCUGGAUGUGGGUGUUCAACUCCCAUCUUAGGUAACAGCAGGCAGAGGCUUUUAGCAAAGCUUUCACUUUCAUAAGCGGCUGGAGAAACUUGCUUCUCUUGGACUGUAGUCAAACUACACUGAUGGAGAAAGGAAGGUAUUUAUAUUGAAUUACAGGACUUUUAAUCUUUCUGAAAAUAUUUAUUGAACAACUAUCAUCAUCAUCAUCAUCAUCAUCAUCAUCAUCAUCAUCAUCAUCAUCAUUUUUGAGCCAGACACCAUUCUAGGACCUUAGCUAAAAUGUUAAUAAAAUAUCUAAAGAGUUUGUCAUCAUGGAGCUGAAUGUCUAGCAUCAGGAGGCAGAUAAACAAUAACUAUAAUGAUGCAUAAAAUAUUUUAUAUUAGAAGGUGAUGAGUGCUGGUAAGUAGAACAGGAGGGGGCAAAGGCAGUGGGAGGGAAAAGCAAGACAUUAUUAACAGGAUGGUCUGGAGAGGCCUCGGUGGGACUGAGCAGAGACUUGAAGAACAGUGAUCCAAAUGGGAGGAAGAACUAGAUAGAGCCCCCGGGGGCCAGAGCAAGCUGUGCACCUGUGAGGGCAGCAAAGAGGUCAGUGUGGCUGCAGCAGUCAGAGGAGGGGAGUGAGAGGUGAUGAAGUCAGGGAGGGAAGAGGAUCCAGACCACAUAAAUCCACUUCUGCCAGGGACAGAGACAUGUUAAAGGCAUCUUUGUAUUCUCAGUGAUUAAUACAACAUUCACAUGUGCCAGAUGCUCAAAUCAUAUGCUUUCAUUAUUGGGCAAAACCUUGGGGGCAGACUGAGUGGAAAAAAAAACAAAACAAAACAUUGGAGGGGUAACCUUCAGGAAAUGGACAGUCCUUUGGGAAAAGAGGGUUUAUGAGAAAUAAGUACUGAUGUGGGUGCAGUUUGAUUGCAGUUUGGAAGGCCUGCAAAGACCAUUAACUGAAUUAGUGGUACCCUGAAUUAGUAAACAAGGGGGGUCCCUCUGCAGCACUUUCUACACUGCAACCCCCUAAGACCUUGUACAGAGCAUACUCUGCCUGAGGGCUUUUCCCAUUGGUCCCUGGCCCCCAGCACUAGACUGACCUAUGUAUCACACCUUACUCAUCCUUUCACUGAGAAAGGACUUUCUUAAGAACUUGGAAUUUGGAAAGUCCCUUUCUUUUCAUCCCCAGCCCCCAUUUGUUUUUAAUUGAGAUGAAAUUCACAUAACAUAAAAAUUAACCAUGUAAAAGCACCCAAUCCAGUGGCCUUCAGUGCUUCACAACAUUGUGCAAUUGCCACUUCUGUUAAGUUCCAGAACAUUUUUUUUGUACCCAUUAAGCAGUCCCUCUCUAUCUCCCCUUCUACCAGAUUCUGGAACUACUGAUCUGAUUUCUGUAUCUAUGGUUUUAACUACUUUUGGAUAUUUCACAUAAUUAGACUGUUAUUCUGUGUAGCCUUGUGUGCCUGGCUUCUUUCUUAGAAGUGCGUUUUUCAGAACUAAAAGCAAUCACAUGAAGGUGCAGAAUUUAAUUACUGGGCAGUCAGAAGAGGAGGACAAUGACAACUAGUUCUUGUCUGACAGCCGUAAUCAAAGGCUUCUCAGGUUUCUUCAGCUUCAGAAGGCGGUGUGAGGAAACAAAAUGCACAUAAUGCUUAUCCGACUUCUAUGACUGUUUGCUUUGGAUAAAGACCCAGGAAAUGGAUGACAUCAGUCAUCGCGGAGCUAUGUCAUUUCAUAGCCUGCCUCACUUUCUGUCUUUCCUGUCAAUAAGAGCAUGCGUUAGGAUACAGAAGCUUACUGCACCAGUUUCCUGUGGGAGGUGAGGGUAAAGAGAGGUUUUAGGUAGUCUUAUUCUUCAGUUUAUGCUGAUUAUCCUCUCAGGACAUGCAUGGAUCUUUUUCCAUCUUAUUUAUUUUUAGUUUUUAGUUUUGGGGGGUACUGGGGAUUGAACUCAGGGGCACUGAACCACUGAGCCACAUUCUCAUCUGUAUUUGUAUUUUAUUUAGAGACAGGGUCUCACUGAAUUGCCUCACUCUUGUUAAGGCUGGCUUUGAACUUGCGAUCCUCCUGCCUCAGCUUCCAGAGCCGCUUGGAUUACAGGCAUGCGCCACUGUGCCCAGCUCAAUUUUAAUUUUACUAGUGCUUCUCAUUCCCAUAUUCUACUUUCAUUACCUUCUGUAAUAAGUAUCAAUUCUUUUUUUUAUUAGUUGCACAUGACAAUACAAUGGUCUUGACAUAUCAUACAUUUGAAUCAAAUAAGUAGCCAUUUUAAUGUACAGCUCUGCAUCCUUGUAAGGGUGGGGAUAUAUCCUGACACAUGCUUGGUUCAUCCUUGUGUGAAUACCCUGGAGUGCACUGGAGAGGGAACAUUUAGCAAAAAUCUGUUUGUUCAGAUUCCUCCUGGCAUCUUGGUCUCCAAGACAAGGAUUUUUUUUUUCUCUGCGUAUAGGGAAUGUAAAGGAAGGGUACCUCUCAAACGAGGGUGCCUUUUUACCUUCAGAGAUAAGGGCAAGGGAACAUCAGAGAGUAAACUUCCCAUGAUCUGCUUCAGGGUAAGAGGACAGAGGAAGGUGAGAGGGACUUUCCUGUUUCUGCUGUUUUGCCAUAUUUUGGGGUAGUGUGUCCUGAAGCCCAUCAAUGGCUACAAGAAUUAUUUUUAAAAGUCCUUUACUAUGUGGAUUAGGUACCUAGAUAUUUCUUUCAUAUUUCCGAUAGAAAUAAUGUGUGACCUAAUUUAAUUUUUUACACAAAUGGAGCACAACUUUUCAUUUCUUUGGUUGUACAUGAGGUAGAUUCACACCAUUCGUGCAAUCAUUCCUGUACACAGGGUAAUAAUAUCUGUCUCAUUCCACCAUUCCCCCCCAUCGUCCCCACCCUCCCCUCUGCUCAAUCCAAAGUUUUUCCAUUCUUCCCUUGUGCUUCCUCCCCCAUUAUGGAUCAGCAUUCACCUAUCAGAGAAAACAUUUGGCCUUUUUUUAAAAAAAAUUUGUGAUCAUUUAAUUAAAGACAGAUUAUUUAAUUUAAAUUAUUUUUGACACAAAAAUCCACUCACCUGCAUGCACAGAAAUUACAGUAUGUCAUGAUGUGCUAAAGGGAACAAAUAACAAAUGAUAAGAAUCAUCACCUCCUGUCUUGGGCCCUUAUAGUCUUAGCACAGGAUGCUGCAUACCAGAUGAGGUGGUAUUCUCCUUCACAUGACCCAUAUAAUGAAUGGGCCCAUUUACAAUCUAUAUAGUAGUAUAAAUAAAAUGUAUUUUCUUUAUUUUUAGCCUAUCAUUAUAAAUAAAAAGUCUAAUAAUUUCUUCCUGCAUCUCGGUAGGUUGCUUUGCACCCUGUGAAGACUGUUGGCCUUGAUAAUAAAAUUCAAAUUCUCAGUGCAAUGUGUGUUAGAUUAGACUACUUAGAGUUACAGAAACCCUCUUCACUGCAACAAGAUUCCCUCACUUCCUCAACUACAAAUCUUUAUUCAGAGUCCUCUAAUUUGCCCAAUAGUAAUAACGCAAUGAAUGCUUUUUUUAUUUUUGUCACAGGGUAUGAAGUCAUUUUAUUGAUUUCAGAGAUAUUGAAACCAUAUUAAAUAAUGUUCUUUUUUAAUAUUUAUUUUUUAGCUGUAGGUGGAUACAGUAUCUUCAUUUUAUUUUUAUAUGGUGCUGAGGAUCGAACCCAGUACCUCAUGCAUACUAGGCGAGCGCUCUACCUCUGAGCCACAACCUCAGCCCCUUUAAAAAUGUUCUUAAUUCAAGCAUUAGUCAUACAUUUCUUUGCAUAUUAUCAUAUUACAGGGUAGAGAAGACAUGCUCUAUAGGGCAAGUCACUGAGAAUUCAGUAAUCUGCCUAUUCAUUACUCUUUAAUAAUCUAUAAACUCUUCUCAAAAUUAUAAAGUUAUGCAGGUUUAUGGGUUUCUUCCUCCCAUAUACCAAUUGCUUAUGUAUUUUCUCUCAUAUUUCCGAUAGAAAUAAUGUGUGAUCUACAGGAAAACAACUCGAGUAGAUAUAAGAUCCAGCUCAGUCCCCCCACCAAAGACAUGCUCACCAUCCUUCUGCCAAAUAUGUUUUCAAUCUUCUGAUAAAUGGGUGCGAAGAGAGCAAAAUUUGAUACAAAGAUAGACAAAUUCUUGCAAUCUUCCUUUUUUUUUCUAGUUUCUUUUUUUUAAAAUUUUAUUGUUGGUUGUUCAAAACAUUACAUAGUUCUUGACAUAUCAUAUUUCACUCUUUGAUUCAAGUGGGUUAUGAACUCCCAUUUUUACCCCGUAUACAGAUUGCAGAAUCACAUCGGUUACACAUCCACUGAUUUACAUAUUGCCAUACUAGUGUCUGUUGUAUUCUGCUGCCUUUCCUAUCCUCUACUAUCCCCCCUCCCCUCCCCUCCCCUCCCAUCUUCUCUCUCUACCCCAUGCAAUCUUCCUUUGGAAUGAAACUAAGUUAAGAAAAGGAUUGUUAAUAACUCUUCGGGUAUCCAUGAUUUUGGCUUUGAAUGCUGUGGUUGAAGAAGGAAAUCUCACACUCCUAACUGAAGUGAUCUACUUUCAAACAGUCAGAAGGAUAAAGCCUUCACUCAGUUCUACCAGGCAUUGGCCAGGAAUUGCGUAUCUGGUUUCCUGAAAACCACACAAGCCACACCUGAUGCUUAGAUUCCUAAACCAGACCUUUAGGUAUAGUCCGCCAAGUGUUCUUGCAGUGUUGAACACACACCUGCUAGCCGUCUUUUUAUUGGGUGUUUCUUUCUCUGACUGAAAAAUCACUUUUUGUCUCUGACUCCACUCCAUCUCCCCCCCUUCCUUUCUAUUUUUCCCCUUCCCUCCAUUCCUUCCUUCUCUCCUUCCUCCUUCAAACCUCCCUUACUUCUUCCUCUUCCUCUUUUCCUUCCUUCUUUCUUUCUUCUUCUCCUUCCCCUUCUCUUUCUUCAUUUAAAAACACAUUUAGAGAUAGACACACACACCUCCCCACAUGGAGAACACAUCAAUGGUUGUGUUUGGCUUCUCCCUAAUCUCAGCUACAAACCCUGUUGAUGACUUCCAAACACUGGUGACUUGCAAUGAGUACCUCAUUCCUUAAAUAAAUGGCCUGUGAUUUAGACCAAACACAAGUGGGCUUUAUGGUCUUAAGGAUACUGUCCUACUUCUCUAGCUAGGCUGGAAUAGGGAUCACAAAUCUGUACUGAGUACCAAAUGCUGAAUCCCACUUAGGUACUGGAGUUAUCAAGAAAGAGCUAGCAUUGUCUUUGCAUUUUGAACUCUCAAGGAUGGGGACACAAACUCAUAAAUUGAUGAGUUUUAGUGCCACCUUUUCCUGGGACAGGAUUCAUGGGGUCUGUUUUGGUUUCUUUUUAGGUUUACUGUCACUAAGGGUAUUUUCUAUUUUGUUUAUAAGUCAUUUCCUGCCUUUAUUUCUUCAAUUUCUUUAAGAUAGUGGCUUUAUAGUCUUUUGUAGAUCUACUAUGGGUCUCUUUCAGGGACAAUUUCUUUUGGUUUAUUUUGUUUUUCUUUGAAUGUGUCAUACUUUUCUGUUUCUCUGUAUGGAAAUUUGAGUUUAAUCAUAUGGCAACUCUGGAAAUCAGAUUCUUCCCCUUGCCUAGGUUUUGAUUCUGUUUUUUGUUUGUUUGUUUGCUUUAUUGUUGCCGACUAUGUCUAUGGCAAGGAUUAGCCUGAGGCAUGAACUUCUCAGGUCUCUUUCAGCUGAGUCAGUUGAUGCACAGGGACUUUUUACUUUCCCUUGUAUAUAUAGUUACUUUUGAAUGAUGCAGUCUUCAGCACCUGGCUACCAAAAGGUGGGGGAAGAGAAAGAUACAGGGAUGCGGGGGGAAUAAAAGGCAUUACUUAUCCCACCCACCAGACAUAGCCACUUAAAAGUGAAGUGUGGAAACCUAAGCUUAAUUUUUUUUCUAUUACUGCUUCAAAAAAUGAUCACAAACGAAGUGGCUUAAAUGGCAAAAAUGUAAUAUUCUACACUUCUGCAGUUUGGAUGUCUGACACAGUUCUAACUGGGCUAAACUCUAUCAGCACGACUUCCCAUAAAUACCAGAAAACAUCGUUUUCCCAGCUGUUUUCAGCCUAUAGUGGUUCCCUACAUUCCUUGGCUAGUGGUCUCAUUCUUCCAUCAUUAAGGCCAUUCACACUGCAUCUCUUUGAUCUAUUUUUCAUGGUAGUGUUUUUUUUGGAGGGAUUGGCUUACUAUGCUUAGCAUGGUAUUCUCCAACUCUGAUAAUUACCUGUAAAUGCCAUAAUUUCAUUCUUCUUUAAAGCUGAGUAAUAUUCCAUUUCAUAUAUAUAAAAUCCAUUCAUCUAUUGAAGGGCAUCUAGGUUGUUUCCUCAGUAUAACUAUUGUGAAUUGACCUGCUAUAAACAUUGAGGUGGCUGUAUUACUGUAGUAUGCUGAUUUUAAGUCCUUUGGGAUAGCUGGUCAAAUGGUGAUUCCAUUCCAAGUUUUCUAGGGAAUCUCCAUACUGCUUUCUAAAAUGGUUGUAUCAGCAAUGAAUCAGCAUACAUUUCCCCCACAUCCUUGCUAACACUUAUUGUUGCUUGAAUUCUUGAUAAUUGCCCUUCAGACUGGAAUGAUAUUUGCAUUUCUCUAAUUGCUAGAGAUGUUGAACAUUUUUUCAUAUAUUUGUUGAUCGAUUGUUUAUCUUCUUCUGUGAAGUGUCUUGUCAGUUCCUUAGCCCAUUUAUUGACAGGGUUAUUUGUUUUUUUGGUGUCAAGUUUUUUGAGUUCUUUAUAUAUGCCAGAGAUUAAUGCUCUAUCUAAUGUGCAUGUGGUAAAGAUGUUCUCCCUUUCUGUUGGCCCUCUCUUCAUGUUAUUGAUUAUUUCUUUUGCUGAGAAAAAGCUUUUUAGUUUGAAUCCAUCCCAUUUAUUGAUUCUUGAUUUUAUUUCUUGCACUUUAGGAGUCUCGUUGAGCAAGUCAGGUCCUAAGCCAACAUGAUGAAGAUUUGGGCCUGAUUUUUCUUCAAACUAGGUGCAGAGUCUCUGGUCUAAUUCCUAGGUCCUUGAUCCACUUUGAGUUAAGUUUUGUGCAGGGUGAAAGAUAGAUGGAGGUUUAAUUUCAUUUUGCUGCAUGUGGAUUUCCAGUUUUCCCAGCACCAUUUGUUGAAGAUGCUAUCUUUUCUCCAAUGUAUGUUUUGGCUCCUUUGUCUAGUAUGAGAUAUUGGUAUUUUGUGGGCUAGUCACUGUGUCCUCUAUUCUGUACCAUUGGUCUACAUGUCUAUUUUGGUGUCAAUAUCAAGCCAUUUUUGUUAUUAUAGCUCUGUAGUAUAGUUUAAGGUCUGGUAUUAUGAUAUCACGUGCUUCACUCUUCUUGCUAAGGAUUGCUUUGGCUAUUCUGGGUCUCUUAUAUUUCCAAAUGAAUUUAAUGAUUGCUUUUUCUAUUUCUAUGAGGAAUAUCAUUGGGAUUUUGAUUGGAAUUACAUUAAAUUUAUAUAAUGCUUUUGAUAGUAUGGUCAAUUUGACAAUAUUAAUUCUGCCUAUCCAAGAACAAAGGAGAUCUUUUCAUCUUCUAAGAUCUUUUAAAUUUUUUUUUCUUUAAUAUUCUGUAAUCUUCAUUAUAGAGGUCUUUCAUCUCUUUUGUUAGGUUGAUUCCCAAGUAUUUUUUUUUUGAGGCUAUUAUAAAUGGGGUAAUUUUUCUAAUUUCUCUUUCAGAGGCUUUAUCAUUGAUGUACAGAAAUGCAUUUGAUUUAUGGAUAUUGAUUUUAUAUCUUGAUACUUUGCUGAAUUCAUUUAUUAGUUCUAGAAGUUUUCUGGUGGAAUGUUUUGGAUUUUCUAAGUAUAGAAUCAUGUCAUCAGCAAAUAAUGAUAGUUUGCAUUCUUCUUUUCCUAUCCAUAUCUCUUUAAUUUCUUUCGUCUCUCUAAUUGCUCUGACUAGAGUUUCAAGAAUUAUGUUAAAUAGAAGUGGUGAAAGAGGGCAUCCCUGUCUUGUUCCAGUUUUUAGAGGGAAUGCUUUCAAUUUUUCUUCAUUUAGAAUGAUGUUGGCCUUGGGCUUAGCAUAGAUAGCUUUUACAAUGUUGAGAUAUGUUCCUGUUAACCCUAGUUUUUGUAGUAAUUUGAACAUGAAGGGGUGCUGUAUUUUGUCAAAUGCCUUUUCUGUAUCUAUUGAGAUGAUCAUAUGAUUCUUAUCUUUUUCUCUAUCAAGGUGAUGAAUUACAUUUAUUGACUUCUGUAUGUUGAAUGAAACUUGCAUCUGGUGCACUAUCUUUUUAAUAUGUUUUUAUAUUCAAUUUGCCAGAAUUUUAUUGAGAAUUGUUGCAUCUAUGUCCAUUGGAGAUAUUGGUCUGAAGUUUUCUUUCCUUGACGGGUCUUUGUAUGGUUUUGGUAUCAAGGUGACUGGCCUCAUAGAAUGAGUUUGGAAGGGUUCCCUCUUUUUCAUAGAAUAAUUUGAGGAGCAUUGGUAUUAGUUCUACUUUGAAGGUCUUGUUGAACUUGGCUGUGAAUCUAUCUGGCCCAGGGCUUUUUUUGGUUGGUAGACUUUUGAUGGCAUCUUCUAUUUCGUUACUUGAAAUUGAUCUGUUUAACCUGUGUAUAUUAUCUGAUUCAGUUUGGGUAGAUCAUAUAACCUAGAAAUUUGCUGAUUUCUUCAAGAUUUUCUAUUUUCUUUGAGUAUAAAUUUUCAAAACUUUCUAAUCAUGUUCUGUGUUUCGGUAGUGUCCAUGUUGAUAUUUCUUUUUUCAUCAUGAAUUUUAGUAAUUUGAGUUUUCUCUCUCCUCCACUUCCUUAGCACGGCUAAAGGUUCAUCAAUUCUAUCUAUUUUUUUUUAAAGAACAAAUUUUUGUUGUCAAUUUUUUCAAUUGUUUCUUUUUUGUCAUUGAUUUCAUCUCCAAUUUUAAUUAUUUCCUGUCUCCUGCUGCUUUUGGUGUUUAUUUAUUCUGCUUUUUCUAGGGCUUUGAGAUGGAAUGUUAGGUCAUUUAUUUGUUGACCUUUUCUUCUUUUAAGGAAUAAACUCAAUGCAAUGGACUUUCCUCUUAGCACUGCCUUCAUAGUGUCCCAGAGAUUUUGAUGAUGUAUGAGUGUUCUCAUUUACCUGUAAGAAUUUUUUAAUCUCUUUUUAGAUGUCUUGUGUAAUCCAUUGUUCAUUCCAUAGCAUAUUAUUUAGUCUCCAGGUAUUGGAGAAGCUUCUAUUUUUAAUUUUAUCAUUGAUUUCUAAUUUCUUUCCAAUAUGAUCUGAUAGAAUGCAGGGUAGUAUCUCUACUUAUCUGUAUUUGCUAAGAGUUGCUUUGUAGCAUAACAUCUGGUCUAUUUUAGAGAAGGAUCCAUGUGUUGCUGAGAAGAAAGUGAAUUCACUUAUUAAUGGAUGAAGUAUUCUACAUAUGUCUGUUAAGUCUAAAUUAUUAAUUGUAUUAUUGAGUUCUAUAGUUUGUUUAGUUUUUGUUUGGGAGACCUAGCCAGUGUUGAGAGAGGUGUGUUAAAGUCACCAGUAUUUUUGUGUUGUGGUCUAUUUGAUUCUUGAAAUUGAGAAGGAUUUAUCUGAUGUAUGUAGAUGCUCCAUUGUUUGGGGCAUAUAUAUUUACAUUUGUUAUGUCUUGCUGAUAUAUGUAUUCCUUAAGCAGUAUGAAAUGUCCUUCUUUAUUUACUCUUUCUGACUAAUUUUGGCUUGAAGUUUACUUUAUUUGAUAUGAGGAUGGAAACCCCUGCUUGCUUCUGCAGUCCAUGUGAGUGGUAUGUUUUUUCUAACCUUUCACCUUCAGUCUGUGAAUGUCUUUUCCUAUGAGAUGAGUCUCUUGAAGGCAGCAUAUUGUUGGUUCUUUUUUUAAAAAUCCAGUCUGACAGUCUAUGUAUUUUUAUUGGUGAGUUUAGGCCAUUAACAUUCAGGGUUAUUAUUGAGACAUGGCUUGUAUUCCCAGUCACCUUGCUUUAUUUUUGGUUUUUAACUUGACUUGGUUUCUCCUAUGAUUGGCUUUUCCUUCAGUGUAGUUUGUCAUUUUGCUGAUUUUCAUUGUUGUUUUUCAUUUCCUCCUUGUGGAAUAUUUUGCUGAGAAUGUUCUAUAGUGCAGGCUUUCUAAUGGUAAAUCCUUUUAACUUUUGUUUAUCAUGGAAGGUUUUUAUUUCAUCAUCAAAUCUAAAGCUUAAUUUUGCUAAACAUAUGAUUCUUGGUUGGCAUCCAUUUUCCUUCAGUGCUUGGUAUAUAUUGUUCCAGGAUCUUCUAGUUUUCAGGGUCUGGGUUGAAAAAUCUGUAUAGGGGCUGGGGAUGUGGCUCAAGCAGUAGCGCGCUUGCCUGGCAUGCGUGCGGCCCGGGUUCGAUCCUCAGCACCACAUACAAACAAAGAUGUUGUGUCCGCCGACAACUAAAAAAAUAAAUAUUAAAAUUCUCUCUCUGAGAAGAGGGGAGGGGAGGGGAGGGGAGGGGGGAUAGUAGAGGAUACAACAGACACUAGUAUGGCAAUAUGUAAAUCAAUGGAUGUGUAACUGAUGUGAUUCUGCAAUCUGUAUACGGGGUAAAAAUGGGAGUUCAUAACCCACUUGAAUCAAAGUGUGAAAUAUGAUAUAUCAAGAACUAUGUAAUGUUUUGAACAACCAACAAUAAAAAUUAAAAAAAAUAAUAAAAUUCUCUCUCUCUCUCUCUUAAAAAAAAAUAAGAAAAAUCUGUAGCGAUCCUGAUUGGUUUUCUCUUAUAUAUAAUCUGACUCCUUUCUCUUGUGGCCUUUAAAAAUUCUCUCCUUAUUCUGUAUGUUAGGCAUUUUCAUUAUAAUGUGACUUGGUAUAGUUCUGUUGUGAUUUUGUACAUUUGCUGUUCUGUAAGCCUCUUGUAUUUGAUUUUCCAAUUCAUUCUUCAUGUUUGGGAAAUUUUCUGAUUUUUAUUUCAUUGAGUAGAUUGUUCAUUCCUUUAGUUUGUAUUUCUAUGCCUACCUCUAUUACAAUAGUUUCCUUUAUUUCAAGAUUUCUGUUUGUUUUUUUUAUUUCAGAAUCUCUAUCUCUUUCUUGAAGUAAUCUUUUGCUUCCUGUAUUUGCUUAUACAGCUCUUUAUCAAAGUGAUCUUUUGUUGGCUGUAAUUGCUCUCUUAUACUAUUUUUUACUUCACAGAAUAUUUUAAUUUUGUAAUCUCCUGAACUCCUUCUCUGACAUUUCUUCUGCUGUGCUGGCCAUGGAUUUUAAUAAUGUAGUAUCUUGUUUGUUUGGGGUGGUUUAUUCCCUUGUUAUUUCAUGUUGCUCAUGUGUCUUCCCUUCUAACUGUGCAGAACUGAGAUAUUAUAGUUUCUGCCCUAUAGACUUACAGUGUCCCUGCAAAUUUCCAAGACCUGUCCUGUAAGUGAAAAAUCAAUAUUAACAAAUCCCAAUGCAAACAUUAUGCAGCCUUGAACCAAGUAGCUCCUAUUAAGACAUUUACAGUUUUGUCACAAUAGACAGAAAUGAUGUGUUCAAUUAUUAUCUACAAUAUGAACAGUAGGUUUGUGAAAGGGCCUAUAGUUUCUAAUGGUGAACAAAGAGGACUGAGGGGUGUAGGAUGAGAAGUUAAGGAUGUAGAAAGUGAGAAUAUAGCCACGCUGUGGCUCCCCAACAUGGGGCUCCCAAAGCUGCAUCCAUUUUGGGACACUGCAACCACCACAACCACUACCAUAGUCCUCUCCACAAGGUAGCCUGCACCUAGGCACACUAGACUGGGUCUGGAGACAGUCGCCCUGCACCUGGGUCUGGAGAUAGUUGCCCACCACAGCACCACAUGCCACAGCACUGGAUCCCCAAACAUGCCGCACAAUAUCACCACACAGCCCACCCUGGCUGCCCCAUCUCUGAAAGCGGUCGCCUCCAUUUUGGAACACUUUCAUCGCCAUCUUGGGUUACCUCUGCUGCCACCAUUGGGGCAACUCCCAUCUUUAAACACUGACUGGGGCCUAGAAGCAAUAUCAAGGUCCCUAGUGUCCCCCUCUCCUCCAACCACCAAUCCAGCACAGUGCUUGUAGCUACAUGGCCAGCCUGUAGCUCUUGAUGCCUGGUCCUGAUCUGCCCAAUAUAGAUCAGCUUUCAGGCCCCAGAGCUCAGCCCACAGGACCUCUGGAGAGCGAGGUUCCUCACCAGGAUGUAGAAAGGGAAGGAGCAAGACAAAUACAGUUUAGAGACUAAAUUAGAAACCAGGAAUUGUGGGGUCUACAGAUAAUGUAAUGGGCUAAGACCAGGCACCCACAUCACACAAAUGGGCCCAAAGGAGAUCCUUGGGAUGCAGUCUUCCAGUGGGGACCAGCAAGUGCUAUAACCUAGCUCCAGGAGUUCUGCCUCUAAGACCAACCCUCCCACACUAAUAACCUUCACCAGCCUGAGGGUGGAAAUACCAGCAAACAACAGACAACCACACCUAUCGGAUGAGAAGGGAAGCAGAGAAGAUACUGAACUCUAACAGAAACAAUCAUUCAAUUUUCCUUCACAUUUUUUUUUCUUUGUUUCCUCUCUCUUUUCCCACCCUCACAUCCCCAAUAUUUGUGAAACCAAGCACUUUUCAUGCAUUAGGCUUCUGAGGACUGGGAUGUCUGACUAGUAUAUUAUAGUUUUGUUGUAUAUUCUUUUAUCUUUUGUUGUUAUGAUUUUCAUUUUCUUAUUAAUUUAUUUUGUUUGUUCUCUCGCUCUCUCUCUUUACUUCCCACUUAUCUGUCUCCCCAGAAUCUCUUUCUCUCUUUUCUUCUGCUAUCAAAGCAUUUAUUGAAAGUUAAACUAAAGCACAAUCAAAUAAAAUUUGUAGCUGGAUUAUAGUUGGCUGAUUUUGUAUAUUUGACUUUGUAAGUUUGAUUCAACAAGGAACUAUCUGAUAUUCAUCAAGGGACUUGGGAAAUGUCAAAUAUUAAUUUUCCUGAGCCUCUAUUCAAUCAUUUGUAAAACAGAGACAUCAUACUCAGUUUGCUGGGUUUCGCUGGAAUGAAACAUGUAAAGUGAGCACUUGAUUUUUCAUACAUGCAUGGCAAUAUUUACCUCCAAGGAGGGAAUUUUGAACCUAUUUUCAAUAUGUAUUCUUCACACAGGUUGUUUCAUCCUCACAAAAUCCUUUGAACUAAGUAUUGAAGUCUAUUUUAGAGGUGAUAGAACUUAGGCUUAGAGGUUAAAUAUUCUUUACCCCCCUCUUCCCUCCCAGUUACAUAACUCAUAAGGUAAAUCCAGAAUUUGAACUCCACAUUUUUUCUUCUACUAUUUUACUUUGUAUGUAUGUGUGUGUACAGUUAAUUUUUAAAACAACUUUAUUGUUAUACUGUUUGCAUACAUAAAAUUCAUAUGUUCAGAGUGUACAAGUCAGCUGGACAAGGUGGUACAUGUCUGUAACCCUAGAGGCUCAGGAGGCUGAGGCAAAAGGAUUGCAAGAUUGAGGCCAGCCUCAGCAACAUAGUGAGACUGUCUCAAAAUGAAAAAUAAAAAAAGCACUGAGGAUGUAGUUCAGUAGUAAAAGCUCUCCUUUGUUCAAUCCUCAGUAAGAGAGAGAAAGAGAGAGGAGGGAGAGGGAGAGAGAAAGCAUAUCGUACUGUGGUUGUUAGCCAUAGAAUUGUACAGCCAACAAUACAGUCUAAGUUUAGGACAUUUUCAUCACCUUAUCCCCAAAACCCUUACCAAUGACCCCCUUUUCCUCAGCCCCAGACUUAGACAACACCUCAUUGACAAUCUCUUUGUACUUUGAACAUUUCCUAUAAGUGGACAUGAAAUUGUAUUGCCCUGUUGUGAUUGGUUUUUCUCUUUGUGUUUUCAAGAUUUAAUAACAUUGCAGUGUAUUUCAUUACUUCAUUCCUUUCUAUGGGCGAACAACAUUACCUAGGGUUGUGAUGAGGGAAGAGGGGUCACUGGUGGGUAAAGGCUUGGGAGGGAGGUGAUGAGAGUCUUCUGAACAUAGACUGUAGUGUUGGCUGUGAAUAUACUAAACACCACUCAACUGUACACUGCCAGUGGGUGAAUUCUAUGUAUGUGAGUGGUAUCAUCUCUUUGAUGGUAUAAAUCAAGUGGAGAUUUUCCUUUAAGACUGCCAAUUUAGUGGUCACAACCUAUAAAUACCUUCCAGAUCCUUCUGCCUUCCUUCUGCACCUACCAGGACCACCACAGAAACUAGUUUAAGAAAGAAAUUCCCCAGCCUUCUGAUAUCAUUUCUUUGUUGGCCCAAGAAUAGCAAUGGACUUAAACCUUAUUUGUUUUUAUAUCCCCUACCCCAAGUACAAAUUUAGGAUAAAGAAAUCUGCAACUGGGUGAGUCAUGAGCAUGUGCUUUCCCCCUGCUGUCUGCUCUGUUUCAUUUCUGUUCACAACCAGAUUGAAAUAAAUGGAGAAUUAGAAAAUGAAACUGGAUUUUAAAAAAAUCACUUUUAGUUAUAACUAUUUUUCUCAAAUGUUUAGUUGCAUCUAUAUUUCCACCAACUCUCUCACUCAACCCAUAUUAUUACAGUCUCUAUGUGAAUUUUCUGUUCAAAUACAGCGAUCAACAACAGUAGAAUCUCCCAGUGAAGCACAACACUUUAUACUCAUGACUGCAUUGAGUACCCGUGGACAAAGGCCAAGGGAUUCUUUAUCGGGAAUAUUUCCACGAGAGUUGGCCUAACUACAGAAAAUACUGUGUACCUCUUGUGAUCUGGUAGGUCAAAUGCAAGUUUUUCUUAAAAUGCUUAUAUUAACUUUUCAUUUAGUUUCAUAGUUGCUUCCAUGUUCCUUUUAUUAUAAAAAUAAUUUUUUAGUCACUUAACUCCCUCAUAGUAAUUCCCAUCCUCAAGCAAAAUCAGUGAUUCAGGAAAAUACAUUAUGACUUUGUUGAUUUGUGUAACCUGUAGUGGCCAUAAUUUCUUUUUCAGUGAAGAUGAGAUCUACAGAAGUGACACUUCUAUCCUGUCUUCCCACCCUUCCCUAUACUUUCCUCUCUAUAUCUUCAUUCUGUAGCACAAAGUGACUCAUGUUUGGAGAGAAGUUAAAAGUGUUAUGACAUUGCCAGAAGUCAUAAACUGAGGGAAAGGGAAAUCUUACUUCAUAUAUAGUGUGCCUGUGCCUACAUGUGCAUGUGUGGGAUCAAAGAGCUGGGAAGAAAACAUCACCUCACAGGAAUAUGGAUCUGCAUAAAAUAUUGGGUCGAACAUUUCUUUAAAUUUUGGGAUUUGCACAAGGUACAAUAAGGAGCAGAUUAGUUUAUAAUUAAAAAUGUUUCUCCACCAGCAAUAAUUCAAUGACUUGUGAUGUUCGAUUAUGGAGACAGAAAAGAAGAUUGUCAGGUAGGUGUUAGGCCACUUAUGAACCAUCCCACUAAGUUUAAAAGCUACACUUAAAAGACCCUCUUCCGAGCUUAAAAAAAAAAAAGUUUUAAGAACAGGGUAGAAAUAGCAAGAUAUGUGAAGCUAAAUAAUAUAAUUAACUGAAAAUAUAUUUCAAAAACUAAGUCUUACUCAGGUCAUCCAUCAUCAACAAAUAUAGAUUACAAACUACUGUGUGUGCAAGCUGCUUAAAAUGGAAUAACAUCUCCAUCAUUAUUUGCACUGCCAACACCUAGCAUGGAUGUAGUUGUUCAUUGCUGUGAUCAGGUUGUACACUCAUCUGAAAGCCCAAGUGUGUAUGUGUGUGUGUGUGUGUGUGUGUGUUUGUGAUACACCUCCAAGCUCAAAUAAUUGUUGGCAAACUUCAGUUCCACUAUGACUGGUUGAAAAUUUCAAGUCCUUUCCACAUGGGCAUCUCCAUAGACUUCCUGAAUAUCUGCACAGCAUGGCAGCCAGCUUUCCCCAACAUGAACGUUCUGAUGGAGAGAGACAAAGAGGGACAGAUAUUCCCCAAGACAAAAUCCAUAAUCUUUGAAAACCUUAUCUUGUAGGUGACAAAUCAUCACUGUGCUGUGUACAGCUGGUCACACAGAUGACCUUGGUAUAAUUAUGUGAGGGAAUCCAUGAGGGUGUGAACACUGGGAGGCAGUGAUCACUGGGGUUUUUUUGAAAGCUGCCUAUUCCAAUGAACUCAGUCAUAUAUUAAAAUCCUCAAUAUUAUGGGACAAAUGGAUAGAUGAACGAUGCUGUUUGCCACAUAGCACUCUCCCACAGCAAUGACUUUAAUGAUAUUAUUAGAUAUUAUAUGACUAUAAGCCCGAAAUGUGCAUCUGUGAGGAAAUUUCUCAGAGUAGGGCAUGGAAAUCACAAUAUCAUAAAGUUAACUACAAUAAAACCCCAAAUAUAAUUUAGAAAGUUAGUCAGUAUACAGCAAACAAAUUAAAACAGUCUGCAUUCCACAAUCAAGAUCAGAAGUGAAAUAAAGCAUUUAAGAAGCUUAAUAUCAUAUUUUUCUACAUGCUAUGAUACAUAUGUUUUGGGAUAGCAUUUUGUUUUUUAAUUCCUUAGUAAUUAUAGCAGCUAAGAAUUACUGCAUGGCAUAGUAAAUCUUUUAUUCAUACAAUGUAGAUACCUACUACAGGAAAUAUGAGGACAGCAGAAACCAUUAAGCUUACUGAAACAUUAAAUUUUAACAUAGGAAGCAUAUUCUAAUGUAGCCUAUAAGAAGAUGAAAAUAGAAAAAUGUGUUUCACAGACAACUUUCAGAUUUCUAUCAGAUCAGUGUAAACUAAGGGAAAUCUCAGGUCUUGGAGCUGCCAUGUUUAAAUGUGGUUUGUCCCCAAAAAUCUCAUGUUGAGGCUUGGUCCCCAAUGUGGUGGCGAUAAAAUUUAGUGUCUUUGAAGAGGUGAUUAGGUGAUUGCUUUUCUCCUGGGAGUGAGUUCCUGCUCUCCAGGGACUGGAAGGUUACUGUGAGAGUGGGUUGCUAAAAUGCAACUUCAGCUUCCAGGGCUAUGUCUUUCUUGCUUGAGCUCACUUGCACAUGUGCUGUUUGCUCAUGGCCCUGAUUGUUCACAUGCUGUGAUGCCGCCAGGGGCUGUCACCAGACACUGGCAGGAUGCUGUCUGGACUCCCGAGCCACUAGAAUCAUGAGGUAAAUAUACUUCUUUUCCUUAUGAAGUACCCAAUAUCAGGAAUCCCGUGAUACCAAUACAAAAUGAACCAAGAAAGGAUCCAAGCAAACCUGGAUUUGAAUCCUGGCUUCAACGCUUACUAGCCAUUAUCAGACACACAUUUCAAUAGAGUCCUGGUCUACUUCCAUUUGCCAUGACUUCUGGUUGCUUAUUUUUUUUUAAUGCAGAUUUUGGCUUAGAAAUUGCUCAAGCCUAUGACACAAACUUUGAUAAACUAAUGUAACAUCAUGUAACAUCUCUGAGUCAUUUCCUUGGAUGUUAAAUGUAUAUAAGUUUGUUGUAAAUCAAGCAGUGAAUGUGAUGCCAACAGCAGUGAAGGGUGGGUUAUGCACAGAUCUUACACACUACUUCAGAUUCCUCUAACUCCACCUGUCUCCACACUAUAGGUUCAUCUGUCACUAUUGUACCCUAAACUCAAUUUGGCCUUAUUGUUCUGGCCACCCAGUAAUUUGCUCCAGAUGUACUGGGUUUUCUAUCUUGGCUGAUCACGAGCACCCUUAGAAUUUGUCAUUCUGAGCACCAUUUCUGGGUCUAGACAGAAGACUACACAGCAAGUUUUGGGAACUAGUGUCUCAAGAGGUCUCAGGAAGGACUGUAUGACAUACCCUAGAAGUUCAGGGGCCUUAUCUCCUUGUAGGGAAAAAAAAUGUGACCAUUGAGAAACUACAGUUGAGAGGAAACUGGGCAGAUUAAUCGUCUCUCCUUCCUCUUUCCUUAAAUGAUAUUUUCUCUUGCCACCAAAUGGGAACUGCCCAAGUAGAAAUGGCUGCUGACCAACCCUGUGCUUCCUUGACUUCUCAUGGAGCCAUGCAUCAUUUCAAUCACAUCCUUCCUCACCAGGAAUUCUCAGACACACAUUUCAACAGAGUCCUGGUCUACUUCCUAUUGCCAUCACUUCUGGUUGCAGAUUUUUUUUUAAUGAAGAUUUUGGGUAAGAAAUUGCUCAGGCUUAUGACACAAACUUUGAUAAACUAAUAAAACACUCAUAUCUUGAACAUAUGCCAAUGUCCAUGGGAGCUACUGUUGCAGAAAAUCAGCCUUUCUGGAAAGUUGGAAAUAGUGACAUGAGAGAAGAAACAUCCCAGCUAUUUGUUCUGACUUCAGGAGGAAUCAUUUAAGCUAGAAAUUCCAAACAUCCUCACUUGUUUUUUCUCUCUCACCCUCUGCAUCCUAUCACCCUUGCUUAGUCACUGUAACCUUUCUAACCACUUCCCUGCUUUUUGUCCUUUAUCAGCAUAGAUUUGACUCUCAGUCUUCUGGACAAGAGCUUCAGAGCCUCUGUCCCACCAGCUCCAAUUUCAUCCUACUGAACCCAUUCUCCAAGUUGCUAUCAGAUUAGUCUUUCUAGAAUAUAAGGCAGCUUGCUUGGCUUCUCUACUCAUGAAUCAGUAAUCCCUCAUAGCUUUUAGAGCGUGCCUUCAAUUAAAGCUUUCAGAUUAAACUCAUUGUGAGACCUUCCCCUACCCCCUAUCCACCUCCCCUGCCAAUAUGAAUAAUUACAACGCUGUAUGACAAAUACUUAAAAAGGACAAGCUAAGUGCUGUAAGAAGGGAGAGACAGUAUCACACUCUAGCUGGGUCAGUGGACGGCAGUUUAAAAGAGGUAUGGUGUUUGAGCAAUAUAUUUUCUAAAAUUAGUUUUAGGAAGUGUCCAACACAUUUACCCUUUUAUUGUUUUUUUUUCUCCUUAUAUACAAAUGUUGAUGCUGGUCUAUGAUUGUAUUGUUUAAAGAAUUCUCUACUUCUCCCUGUGGGAGAAUCCUGUGUGUUCUACUGUGGCUUUUCAUGUAACUCGCUACCCUCAUUGACCCACUGAAUUGGUGCCAGCCUUGGCCACAUGGCUUCUUUGUCUAGUGAGAUGCGGGUGGAAAUGAUGUGUGCCUCUUCUGAGUAGAAGCUUUAAGAGCUCUGGUGUGGUUCUUCCACUUUCUUUUUUCCCCUCAUCAUGAGAUCAUCAUGUCACUGCUCUUUCAGUCUGGGUCCAAAACAAAGGCUAUUUGGAGCAGAAUUGCAGCUGACCUGCAAUGGGCAAGCAACAUAUGAGAGGAAUAAACCUUCACUGUUAUAAGUCUCUGAGAUUUUAGGGUUGAUUUUUACUGUAGUGUAGCCUAAUCUAGGCUGAUCCAUACAUUUACUUACAUAGUAUUUAUCUAUUGCUGCUUAAAACUUACCCCCAAAUUAGUGGCUUAAAACAGCCAUGACAGAUGAUUGUUUAGUUUACUCCCAAAUCUGUAAUUCAAGCAGGGGUUAGGGCUGAGGGGAGCUGCAGAUAGCUCUUUCCUGUUCCAUACUUACACAGUUCAAUGGUUGGGAGCUGCAACCAUAGGAGGUCUUACUCAUGUGUCUGGUGGUUGAGGCUGGCUGUCAGCUGGGAUCUCUGCUGAACUGUAGCCAGAGCACCCACAUGCAGCUUUUCUUUCUUUUCUGUUUCUUUUUCUUUUUUUCUUUGAUGGUGCUGGGCCAUGUGCAUGUUAAAGCCCCAGCCCACUGUAGCCUUUCUCAGUUGGCUACUCGCUUUCCUCACAGAAUGGGCUUGGGUCUCCUAGGUGAAUACACCAAAAUAAGCAAGUAGAAGUGCCAUGUCCUUUCAUGACCCAGAUUUCCAUGUCAUGGAGAACCACAUCUCAUAUACAAAAAGAACAAAUAAACAAGAGAAACUAAAAAAUUGAUAUUAGGGUUCUCCAUAGAAACAGAACCCAUAAGAUGUGGUGUGUGUGUGUGUGUGUGUGUGUGUGUGUAAAAGAGAGAGAGAGAUUUCAAGGAAUUGGCUCAUGCAGUUGUGGGAGUUAGCAUGUUCAAAAUCUGUGGACGGCCUGGCAGGAGUAUAUGUCAGCCUUGAGUCUGAAGGUGGCCUGGAGGCAGAAUUUCUUCAGAAUUAGGUCACAAAAAAUGAGUUCCCUGGGAGAAACACAGUUCUAACCUCACAAGAGGGAAUAUGGGGUUUUGUGUGUGUGUGUGGUGUGUGUAAGAGAGAGAGAUUCAACUUUUAAAAAAUCCAUUCAUGGACACUAAUGAAAAGUGGCUAUUUUAUAAAAAAAAAAAAUUCAUAGGGCAGGUAGGGCAGGGAAAGUUUAUAAUGCACAUUCAACUUAAACUACCUGAAUUACAAUGAAAAAUAUCAAAUCAACCUAAUCAGAAAACUAAAUUCUCUCACAGGUAAAAAGAAAAGGAAAAAUGAAUGGAGAAAGUUCAAAGGAGAAAAUGACAAAUAUUUGUCAUUAAAAUGAUCUCAGAGUUGUAGUUAAUACACUUAAUCUAGUAAAUUAAUAAAACAACUAAAGUAGGUACUAUAAAAUAUUAUCUAACCAUAUGUGACACAUUUGAAGGAAGUUAGAAAGGUAUUUGAGGGUGAGGGUGUAUUUGAACCUAAAGGUCAGGGUAUUAAAAAUAAUCCCAUAUGAUGAGCAUUAAUUUAGAAUCUUCCAUUAUCUCCACCAUUACACAAAAAGAAUGGGCAGGAAGGUUUAGUAGUUCUGUCAGUGGGAUUAUUACAUUGGAAUGACAUUAUCCCCAAUCCUUCAUCCUGACCCCAUAUUUCUGAUGGAUAGUAACUGCAUAAAACUUAUCAAUUGUCAUUUAGAAACUGCAACUUGCUUGGGUUCAAAGAAGAAUUCAAAUGAUAAUUGCUAUAGACAGAAUUUUUUCUAUCCCCUCCCAAAUUCAUAUGUGGAAAUCUUAACCUCUAGUCUGGUGGCUUUUGUGGGUGCGACUUUUGGGAGGCGAUUAGGUCAGAAGGUUGGAGUCCUCACAAAUGAGACUCGUGUCCUAAAAAAAAGAACCCAGUGAGCUCUUCUCACCUCUUCUGCCAUGUGAGAUCACAAUGAGAUGAUGACCAUCCAUGACCCAGGAAGACGGCCCUCACUAGACACUUAACCUGAUUUUGCCUUUACCUCAGACAUCCCAGCAUCUAGACUGUAAGAAAUAAAUUUCUGUUGUUCAUAAACCACACAUUUUAUAUUUCAUUGUAGCAGCCAUAUAACACUAAGAUAGUAAUUUCAAUUCACCCUAAAAGCAGUUCAUUAGACAAUGUCAUCUAAACAGGAUGACUCAGGUAUUCUUAAAGCAAAUGAUUUUUCAAUCCUGGAAAAUUAAUAAAGAAUGUAAAUCAAAUGUGUAGACUUAACAUUUGUGUACUGUGUUUAAAAAUAAGAAUUUCAUCAGUAGGAUAGUCUCCCAACACUUGAAUAUAAAGUACUUUCAGUGUUUAAGAGAUUCUGAGAUGGAAGCCUAGAGGUUCUUAAUAAAUUAUGUAAUUGGUUUUAGAGUUUUGGGUCUGAGUUGAAUAUUAGAGAAUAGUUUUCUAAAAUAUAUACACUGUAUUGAGAGGCUUAAGUCAAUUUUAGAUUAACUAUAUUUAUAAGUUAAUUUAUUAGGUGGAUGAUAGUUUCAGUAUUUGGAAAAAGUUUGCUAGGCCUGCAAAUUUUGAAGUAUUUAAUAAUAGUUAUAAUUGCAUUAAAAUAUUUGUUUAUUUUUUGCAUUAAAUAUUUAAAUAACUUAAUAUACUAAGUUUGUAAAUAGGUUAAUAUGUUUUGAAUUGAGGUGGUCAAAACCUUUUCCAGAAGUAACAGUUUUUAUUUAAUUUAAUUCUGUUUUUUUUUUUUUUUUGUACUGGGGAUUGAACCCAGGGGUGCUUUGCUACUGAGCUACAUCCCCAUCCCUUUAUUUUAUUUUGAGACCGGGUCUCCCUUGUAAUCCUCCUGCCUCAGUCUCCCAAGUUGCUGGGAUUAUAGGCAUGCACCAGAGCACCUGGCUGAUUUCAUUCUUAAAUUUACAAGAUUGACAAAAGCAAUAAAGUUUUGAAGAAACUUGUUUCUAAAUUUUCACUUUAAUAAACUAAAUUUUAAUUUAAAUCCAAGCAUCUUUAAAUAGCUUAUCUAAACUUGAAAGCUCCCCCAGGAAGACCUAAAAUGGAGGUCAAAGACCAAAUUUCCACUGUGAUAAGAAUUGAGAUUUUGAGUCAGAAGCAAUUAAAACUGGUAUCAAAGUAAUACCAAAGAUGACUGAAUUAAACUUUCUCAAGUUGUAGAAACAGAUGAUUAGCAGUGUUUGGUAGAAUGGCAAAGCAAGAAAGCAAAUAAGAGAUCCUUCAUUUUAACAUAUGCUGGAAAACUUCAUAAAUUAAAACAGUGAGUAUCCAGCCAGGGGAAUUUUUUGUUUGUUUGUUUGUUUUGCCAACUUUAAAAAGAUGAAAGAUCAGGCUAUCUUCAUCAAGACUAAAUACCCUAAAACUUGGAAAAGAAAAAAUAUCGGGUAAGCCUCCUAUCAUUUAUGGGGAUAACAGAAGGUAGUCUAAUUUUACAAUGACUGAAAGACUAUAACAUCUACGAUCACCAACUGGCUGGGUUGAUGAUAUGAACUGAGUUUAAAGGAGCUGGCUGUAUCAAUAACAAAGAAAACAGCGAAGAAAGCUCGCAAUACACAGAAAUACCUUUUGCAGGAAUCAGGGAUGUUUCUGAGACCUCUGGGGUCUGCUGGAAAGAGAGUGUGCAUCUAGAUUAUUUUUAUGGGAGGGACCCACAAAAGGAGGUUCCAUGGAAUGUUCUUUCCAAAUAAAGCAAGGGGUCAUGUUUCAGGGGGUUGAAUCUAGCUUCCCAAUGUCCUGUGGUCAGUAGAUUGAUUGACAUCUUGGCAAGUCACAACCAUCUCAGGUGCCCUGUGGGAACACAGGCAGAGGAAAGUGCACACAAUCCACAAUCGUUGCACAACCCAAAGAGCAUGCAAGGACAGGCUGGUCCUCCCGUAUGCUCAAAUGCGCAUAGCUCACACACACAGUCCAUGGAUGGCUCACGACAAUCUACAUAACCCAUUUAGAGAAAAAAGGCUUCAAAAGUGUACUUUUAAUGGCAAAGAGAUUAGCAAAGUAAAGAUUUGAGAAUAAGGAUGAGAAUAUACAAAUGCAUGACAAGUCUCUACCUUCAUAACCAAUGUAAAACUCCAAAUGCAAGAUCCUUCUGGACAGAUUUUAACCGUGACUGAGCUGUUUCACUUCUACUUUUACUUUCUUCUCAGUACUAAGAAAUCUGUUUUUCUGGCAGCAUACUCGUUAUCUUAUUAACUAGGUGAAAUCUCUGACCAUUUUUGGAGUAAAAAUGUAAUAAUCCUAUUGGUUGUAUUCUAUUAAGUAGCUGAAUCUCAACAAUGACUUAGUUUGAUGACUUAGGUGUUAUUUAUAUGGGUUACAAAGAAGAGAUGCAUAAUAACCAUUUUAAUUGCCAAAGAAUUUGAAAAACUUUUUGAUAAUCAAAUGUAAUAUGAAGUGAUUUGAGUCAUUGAUCAUUUUAUUGCCCUUUUUAAUUGGAAAGAAACUAACAAACCACUUAAAGACAAAUAUUAUGUUUCAAAAGCUCUUUUUCAUAUUGUGUUCCUUGAAGAAUGAAAAAAUAUGUUAAAUAAACAUAAUGAUCAGAAAGAUUUCUAAAUACAUAAAUAAAUACUAUAAGAUAAUAUGCCAAAAUAUUAACUGAGUUGUGUGUUCUGUGUGAUUUUGAAUUUUUUCAGCAUUUUGUAUUAUUGAAAUUAUCAUAUGCAUGCAUUACUUUUAUAAUGUGAAUAAAUUUUCAUUUUAAAAAUUGAUUUAUACAACCUUCUAAAUAUAAGAUAGUCAUACUUGCAUAAAAUGUAUAUGUUCAGUGGGAAUUAACCAAAAGAGCUACACAAUUUAAGCAAUAAACUGACAUAGUAUUAGAUAUCGAUCCAAAUUAGAAAACAGAGGUCCACAAGUCCAUAUUGACUCAAUAAAUGAUUAAUAAAUUAAUAAAUAGGGUGAAAGAGACAGAUUUCCCAUGGAGGACAAUUUCAAAUAAUCAUAGAUACUUCCACUCCUUAAGGGGGAGGGCAGGGGAGGCUGUGCAUAGUAACUUUCUUCCAAAGACUACAGUAUGGAGAUGAGGAGGGAAGUAACUUCACAGAAUAAACUCUAUAAACCUGCAUAAACACUAUCAUAGUCAGUGAUAGAGGUCAACAUCAAAGUCAUUAAGCAUAUCAACAGUGUGUACCCUAGAUAGGAUGUAAUGAGAAUAGAACUUUAUCUAUGUGUUCUUCUUUCCAAAACCCAUAACUCCAAUCUAAUCAUGAAAAAGCAUCAGACAAAUUUCAAUUGAGAGACUUUCUACAAAAUACCUGACCAGUAUUUUUCAAACUGUCAAGGUCAUCACAAACAAGGAACAUCUGAGAAAUUGUCACAGCCAUGGGGAUCCUAAGAAGAUAUAACAACUAAAUAAAAUAUGGUAUCCUAAACUGGGCAUGGUGGUGCACACCUGUAAUCUCAGCAGCUCAGGAAGCUGAGUCAGGAAAAUCGCGGUUCAAAGCCAACUUUAGUGAAAGUGAGGUGCUAAGCAACUCAGUGAGACCCUGUCUUUAAAUAAAAUACAAAAUUGGGCUGGGGAUGUGGCUUAAUGGUUAAGUGCCCCUGAGUUCAAUCCCCGUAUACCUCCCCCAAAAAAUACGUUAUCCUAGAUGGGAUCCUCCAAGAAAAUAAAGAGAUUAGAAAAACCCUAGGGAAAUCUGCCUAAAGUGUGGACUUUAGUUAAUAAUAAUAAUGCAUCGAUAUCAAUUUCUUACUUGUAACAAAUAUAUCAUAUCAAUGUAAGGUGUUACUAAUAGGGGAAACCGGAUGCCAGAUAAAUGGGAACGCUCUAUACUAUCUUCUCAAUUUUUCUGAAAAUCUAAACUUUUCUAAGAUACAGAAUCUAUAAUAAAUGCUUUAUUGCUCUUGAAACAUGAAACUUACAAAAUUAGAUGCAUUCUAUCAACAAUUCUGACAGGAGUCCAGGGGCAGCUGGGUAAGUCAAGAAGUUCCAUGCUCUGAUAUGAGUCACUUCACAGAGGCAGUGCUCCCAAACUACCAUACACUAAGUUAGUCGCUUCCAGUCUUAGGUUCCAAAAAGGUUUUCUGAACUUGCAAUAUAAAUGCGUUCUUGAGGAUUCAUGCCUAUGUGUUUGAAAGUCUAGAGGGAGGUGAGAAAGAGGAGGAAGUAGAAUAGGGAUCUAGACUAUUUCUUCCCUUGGCUCUCUGGGUGGUGCAUUUUACCUGUACAACAAUUUUAAUUGAUUCAAAGGUAGUUAGAUCCUCACCUUCCUCUUUAUAUUAAAGAGGUUUUGUAACUUUCUGCCCAAGCUGAUCUUUUUUGCCUUACCCCUCUUUGCUGUAUUGGGUUUAAUUUCUUCUAGGUUUGUCCUUCUUUGUUGAUGCAGGAUGCUGGAAGUUCCAGUGUGGAGAGUGUAGGGGUACUAUAUGAGUACUGAAACUGGGGAAAAGGUUUGUUCAAUUGAGAUAAAUUUAAAUAUAAUACAAAACAGUAUAUAUGUUUUACAGUAACACAUUGUAAAUAUAAUACAUUAUACUAUGCAGUAAGGAAAUAUUCAUGUGUUCAUUAACCAAGUAUAACGAAUACCAACAAGUUCUCAUAUUUAUUUCAGAUUUUUAAAUAAGUUUUUGAAAUUAAUUUAUUUAUUUUAAUUUGUUAUACAUGAUGGCAGCAUGCAUUUCAAUUCAUAGUACACAUAUAGAGCACAAUUUUUCAUGUCUCUGGUUGUACACAAAGUAGAGUCACACCACUCAUGUCUUAUACAUGUACUUAGGGUAAUGAUGAUGUCCAUCUCAUCCACCAUCUUUCCUACCCUUGUUUUCUCCUCCCCCUUUGCCUUAUCUAAUGUUCCUUCAUUCCUCCCAUGCUCCCCCCUCCCACCAUUAUGGAUCAGCACUCACAUAUCAGAGAAAACAGUUGGCCUUUGGUUUUUUGGGAUUGGCUUAAUUCACUUAGCAUGAUACUAUCCAACACAAUCCAUUUACCUGCAAAUGCCAUAAUUUUAUUCUCUUUUAAUGCUAAGUAAUAUUCCAUUGUGUGUAUAUACCAGUUUUCUUUUUAAUCCAUCCAUCUAUUGAAGGGUAUCUAAGUUGGUUCCACAACUUAGCUAAUGUGAUUUUGUGUGCUAUAAACAUUGAUGUGGCUGUGACACUGUAGUAUGCUGUUUUUAAGUCUUUUGGGUAUAAACUGAGGAGUGGGAUAGCUGGGUCAAAUGGUGGUUCCAUUCCAAGUUUUCCAAAGAAUCUCCAUACUGCUUUCCAGAUUGGCUGCACCAAUUUGUAGUCCAACCAGCAAUGCAUGAGUGUGUGCCGCAGUCUGGCUGGGCACAAAUGCCACAGUCUGGCUGGGCACACAAUCAUGAGCCACCACACAGCUUGUAGAUUCAAACAGCAACUCUUUAUUCCCGAACUCACACCAGCCGUCUACAAUCACGUUCUGGGGAAAUCCACGUUCUCUGCCCAAAUCCACUCCCACUGGGCUUCUGUCUCCCAAAAAAUACUGUCUGAAUCCCAUGAGAACUCAAGGGGAACUCAGGCAGCAGGAUACGCCCUAUUCCCAGCAGGAAUAAUCUUAAACCUGGAACCUAAACUGGGAAUGCCCUAAACCCGGGUCCGCCCUGGUCCUUGAGCAAGGUCACCUACAUGCAAUGUCACUGCAAAAUGUCCUAUUUCCACGAGUCCUUCCACUAAGCAACAUGGGGUACGCUGGCAAGGAAAUUGUCAUACCUACUUGGCUAAUGGCUCCCAGCAAGUGUGCAUUUCCCCUGCAUCCUUGCCAACACUUAUUGUUGUUUGUAUUCUUGAUAGCUGCCAUUCUGACUGGGGUGAGAUGAAAUCUUAGAGUGGUUUUGAUUUGCACUUCUCUAAUUGCUAGAGAUGUUGAACAUUUUUUCAUAUAUUUGUUGAUUGAUUGUAUGUUAUCUUCUGAGAAGUGUCUUGGCCCACUUAUUGACUGGGUUAUUUGUUUUUUUGAGGUGUUAAGUUUUUUGAGUUCUUUAUAUAUCCUAGAGAUUAGUGCUGUAUCUGAUGUGUAUGUGGUAAAAAUUUGCUCCCAUUCUGUAGGCUCUCUCUUCAUUUCACUGAUUGUUUGUUUGUUGUUGUUGUUGAGAAUAAACUUUUUAGUUUCAAUUCAUUCCAUUUAUUGAUUCUUGAUCUUAUUUUUAUUUUAUUAUAUUCUUGUCUAUAGGAGUCUUGCUAAGGAAGUUGGGGCCGAAUCCAACAUGAUGAAGAUUUGGGCCUACUUUUCCUCCUCCUCCUCCUCCUUCUUCUUCUUCUUCUUCUUCUUUUUUUUCUUCUUCUUCAUUAUCUUUCUUUCUUUUUUUUUUUUUUUUUUUUUUUUUUUUUUUUAAUUUUUUAUUGUGGGUUGUUCAAAACAUUACAAAUUUCUUGACAUAUCAUAUUCCACACUUUGAUUCUAGUGGGUUAUGAACUCCCACCUUCACCCCAUACACAGAUUGCAGAUUCACAUCAGUUACACAUCCAUUGAUUUACAAAUUGCCAUACUAGUGUCUGUUGUGCUCCGCUGCCUUUCCCAUCAUCCACCCUCCCCCCUCCCCACCUCUCCCCUCCCCUCCCCUCCUCUCUCUCUACCCCCUCCACUGUAUAACCCUGAGGGUCUCCUUCCAUUACCGUGCAAUUUACCUUCUCUCUCCCUUUCCCUCCCACCUCUCAUCCCUGUUAAAUGUUAAUCUUCUUCUCCUGUUCUUCGUCCCUACUCUGUUCUUAGUUACUUUCCUUAUAUCAAAGAAGACAUUUGGCAUUUGUUUUUUAGGGAUUGGCUAGCUUCACUUAGCAUAAUCUGCUCUAAUGCCAUCCAUUUCCCUGUAAAUUCUAUGAUUUUGUCAUUUUUUAAUGCAGAGUAAUACUCCAUUGUGUAUAAAUGCCACAUUUUUUUUAUCCAUUCGUCUAUUGAAGGGCAUCUAGGUUGGUUCCACAGUCUUGCUAUUGUGAACUGUGCUGCUAUGAACAUCGAUGUAGCAGUGUCCCUGUAGCAUGCUCUUUUUAGGUCUUUAGGGAAUAGACCAAGAAGGGGAAUAGCUGGGUCAAAUGGUGGCUCCAUUCCCAGCUUUCCAAGAAAUCUCCAUACUGCUUUCCAAAUUGGCUGCACCAAUCUGCAGUCCCACCAGCAAUGUACAAGUGUACCCUUUUCCCCACAUCCUCGCCAGCACUUGUUGUUGUUUGACUUCCUAAUGGCUGCCAAUCUUACUGGAGUGAGAUGGUAUCUUAGGGUGGUUUUGAUUUGCAUUUCUCUGACAGCUAGAGAUGUUGAGCAUUUUUUCAUGUACUUGUUGAUUGACUGUAUGUCCUCCUCUGUGAAGUGUCUGUUCAGGUCCUUGGCCCAUUUGUUGAUUGGGUUGUUUGUUCUCUUAUUGUCUAAUUUUUUGAGUUCUUUGUAUACUCUGGAUAUUAGGGCUCUAUCUGAAGUGUGAGGAGUAAAGAUUUGUUCCCAGGAUGUAGGCUCUCUAUUUACCUCUCUUAUUGUUUCUUUUGCUGAGAAAAAACUUCUUAGUUUGAGUAAGUCCCAUUUGUUGAUUCUAGUUAUUAACUUUUGUGCUAUGGGUGUCCUAUUGAGGAAUUUGGAGCCCGACCCCACCGACUGUAGAUCGUAGCCAACUUUUUCUUCUAUCAGACGGCGCGUCUCUGAUUUGAUAUCAAGUUCCUUGAUCCAUUUUGAAUUCACUUUUGUGCAUGGCGAGAGAAAGGGAUUCAGUUUCAUUUUGUUGCAUAUGGAUUUCCAGUUUUCCCAGCACCAUUUGUUGAAGAUGCUAUCCUUCCUCCAUUGCAUGCUUUUAGCCCCUUUAUCAAAUAUAAGAUAGUUGUAGUUUUGUGGAUUGGUUUCUGUGUCCUCUAUUCUGUACCAUUGGUCCACACGCCUGUUUUGGUNAGACCUACAACAGACCGCCGGCAGGCUCCUGGGCCUGAUCCGCCGGUCUGUUGUAGGUCUGCCUACCUUGAAGGCGCGGGCGGCGGAUCUGCCCUGCCCCUCCUACCACGCCUGCGGACCCCUGGGCCUGAUCUGCAGGUUGAUCACUGGUCUGCUCACCCUGCGGGCACGGGUGGCGGUUCCGCUCCACCCCCACUCCAAUUGGGGUCACGUGACCACCACACCGGCAGGGCCUGAUCCGGGCGUGGGAUAAGGAUCUGCUCUGCCCCUACUCGAGUUGGGGUGACGUGUGUACCACACUGGCAGGCCACUGGGCCUGACCCGCCAGGCUGUCACAGGUCUGUUUACCUUGCAAGCGCGAAGGGCGGCUCUGCCCUGCCCCUCCUACCACGCCCAUGUACUACUGGGUCGUGGGUCUGCCCACCUGGCGGGUGUGGGUGGCGGCUCCGCUCCGCCCCCUCUCCAAUUGGGGUCACGCGGUCACCACGCUGGCGAGCCGCUGGGCCUGCUCCGGGGGCUGGCGGCGGCCCGGCUCCUUCCCUCUGGCUCGAGGACAAAUUGAGGAGACUCGGGUGACUGAGCCUCACCCCCCUUACCAGGAGACCAACUGCUUAUGUCACCGCUGGUAUUGAUGAAGAUCUCUCCUCCACCGCUUUCUGCUGACAUCAGAUCUCUGCCAUGUUGGUAUCCUAUGCGAAUGGCAGCAUUUCGUUCCCCUUGCCAGGCAACCCAAGCAAUGGGUGAGUCCUGACCUGCCCUCAGCAGGACCCGGACCGAGACACAGUUUCCGCGGGCUCCUAGCCCCGGUCCAGGGAAGUUCCGGGAGCCGGAACUCGGCCGCUCCGUGCUCGGUGUAAGCUCCUAUAAGUGUAGGCUCCAAGAAGCAGCCCCCGCGGGCUCAGUUCCGGGAGCCGGAAUUCGGCCGCUUAGUGUUUGGUGUAUGCUCUGAUAGUAGCAGGGUCCAAGAAGCAGCCUCCGCGGGCUCCGCAGCCCUGAGCCAGGGCGGUUCCGGGACGGUUCCGGGAGCCGGAACUCGGCCGCUCUGUGCUCGGUGUAAGCUCCUAUAAGUGUAAGCUCCAAGAAGCAGUCCCCGCGGGCUCAGUUCCGGGAGCUGGAAUUCGGCUUCUUGGUGUUUCGUGUUUGCUCUGAUAUUAGCAGGGUCUAAGAAGCAGCCUCCGCAGGCUCCGCAGCCCGGAGCCAGGGCAGUUCCGGGACGGUUCCGGGAGCCGGGACUUGGCCGCCCCGCGCUCCGUGUUCACUCCGAUAAGAUCAGAUUUUAAGAAGCCCCCAGGCGCUGAACCCUAGCAAUCUGUCUGCAAGCCGCAGGCGAAUUGCAGCCUGAAAUUACCUGUUCUAUGGCUGAAUGAGCUGCGGUCAGUCAUCUUUCUUUUUUAACAUUUAUUUUUUAGUUGUAGUUGGACACAAUACCUUUAUUUCACUUAUUUAUAUUUAUGUAGUGCUGAGGAUUGAACCCAGGGUCUCACGUGUGUGAGGCAAGCACUCUACUACUGAGCCACAAACCCAGACCCUACUUUUUCUUCUAUUAGGUGCAGAAUGUCUGGUCUAGUUUCUAGGUCCUUGAUCCCCUUUGAGUUGAGUUUUUUGCAUGAUGAAAGGUGAGGACUUAAUUUCAUUUUGUUGCAUAUGAAUUUCCAGUUUUCCUAGCACCAUUUGUUGAAGAGGCUAUCCUUUCUCCAAUAUGUUUUUGGUACCUUGUCUAGUAUGACUGUAUAUAUGUGGGUUUGUCUGUAUUUAUAUGGGUUUGUAUCUGUGUCCUCUAUUCUGUACCAUUGAUAUACAAGUUUAUUUUGCUGCCAAUACCAUGCUGUUUUUGUUACUAUUGCUCUGUAGUAUAGUGAUGCCACUUGCUUCACUCUUCUUGCUAAGGAUUGCUUUGGCUAUUGAUGAUCUCUUAUUUUUCCAAAUGAAUUUCAUGAUUGCUUUUUCUAUUUCUAUGAGGAUCAUCAUUGGGAUUUUAAUUGGAAUUACAUAAAUCUGUAUAGUGCUUUUGGUAGUAUGGUCAUUUUGACAAUAUUAAUUCUGCCUAUCUAAGAACAAGGGAGAUUUUUUUUCCAUCUUCUAAGGUCUUCUUUAAUUUCUUUCUUUAGUAUUCUGUAGUCCUCAUUGUAGAGUUCUUUCACCUCUUUCAGUAAGUUGAUUCCCAAGUAUUUUAUUUAUUUAUUUUUAGUAUAUUGUAAAUAGGGUAGUUUUCCUAGUUGCUCUUUCUAAGGAUUUGUCACAUAGAAAUGUCUUUGAUUUAUGGGUGUGAAUUUUAUAUACUGCUAGUUUGCUGAAUUCAUUUAUUAGUCCUAGAAGUUUUCUGAUGGAAUUUUUGGAUCCUCUAGGUAUAAAAUCAUGACAUCAGAAAAUAGUGAUAGUUCAAAUUCUUCUUUUCCUAUUUGUAUCCCUCUAAUUUCUUUAGUCUAUCUGAUUGCUCUGGCUCAAGUUUUAAGAACUAUGUUAAAUGGAAGUGGUUCAGAGAAGUUAGCCAAUACCCAAAAAACAAAUGCCAAAUGUCUUCUCUGAUAUAAGAGGGGUGACUCAAAAUGGGGUAGGGAGGGAGAGAAUGGGAGGAAGAUUACCUCUAGAUAGGGAAGAGGGGUGGGAGGGAAAGGGAGGGAGAAGGGGAAUAGCAUGGAUGGUAGAAGGAGAACCUCAUCAUUAUAUAAAAUACAUGUAUGAAGAUGUGAAUUUGGUGUCAACAUAUCUUAUAUACAGAGAUAUGAUAAAUUGUGGUAUAAAGGUGUAUUAAGAAUUGUAAUGCAAUAAUAAUAAUAAUAAAGCUCAUGUAAAAAUAUAAAUAAAUAAAAAUAAAAAAAGAAGUGGUGAAAGAGGGCAUCCCUAUCUUGUUCCAGGUUUUAGGAGGAAUUAUUUCAACUUUUCUCCAUUUAGAAUGAUGUUGGCCUUGGGCUUAGCAUAGAUAGCUUUUACAAUGUUGAGAUAUGUUCCUGUUAUUCCUAGUUUUUGUAGUGUUUUGAACAUGAAGAGGUGCUAUAUUUUGUCAAAUGUUUUUUCUGCAUCUAUUGAGAUGAUCAUAUGAUUCUUAUCUUUAAGUCUUUUGAUGUGAUGAAUUACAUUUAUUGAUUUCUUUUUUUUAAAAUUUUUUAGAUGUUGAUGGACCUUUAUUUUAUUCAUUUAUUUAUAUGUGGUGCUGAGAACCAAACCCAGGGCCUCACACAUGCUAGGCAAGUGCUCCACCACUAAGCCACAACCCCAGCCCUCAUUUAUUGAUUUCUGUAUGUUGAACCAACCUUGUAUCCCUGGGAUGAACCCAACUUGGUCAUGGUGGACUGUCUUUUAAAUAUGUUUUUGUGUUUGAUUUGCCAGAAUUUUAUUGAGAAUUGUUGCACCUAUGUUCAUUAGAUAUAUUGGUCUGAAGUUUUCUUUCCUUGAUGUGUCUUUGUCUGGUUUUGGUAUCAGGGUGAUACUGGUUUCAUAGAAUGAGUUUGGAAGGGUUCCCUCUUUUUAUAUUUCAUAGAAUAAUUUGAAGAGUAUUGGUGUUCUUCUUUAAAGGUCUUGUAGAACUCAGAUGUAUAUCCAUCUGGUCCUGGGCUUUCCUUUGUUGGUAGGCUUCUGAUGACAUCUUCUAUUUCAUUACUUGAAAUUGAUCUGUUUAAUUUGUGUAUAUCAUCUGGUUCAAUUUGGGUAGAUCAUAUGACUCUAGAAAUUUGUUGAUGUCUUCAAGAUUUUCUAUUUUAUUUGAGUAUAAAUUUUCAAAAGUUUCUAAUUAUCUUCCGUGUUUCUGUAAUGUCUGUUGUGAUAUUUCUUUUUUCAUCAUGGAUGUUAAUAAUGUGAGUUUUCUCUCUCCUCUUCCUUAGCACGGCCAAACAUUCAUGAAUUUUAUCUUUUUUUUUUAAAGAACAAACUUUUUGUUUUCAAUUUUUUUCAAUUGUUUCUUUUGUUUCAAUGUCAUUGAUUUCAGCUCUGAUUUUAAUUAUUUCCUGUUUCCUACUGCUUUUGGUGUUGAUAUGUUCUUCCUUUCCCAGGGCUUUGAGAUGUAAUGUUAGGUCAUUUUUGUUGACUUUUUUUUUUUUUUACUGCCUUCAUAGUGUCCCAGAAAUUUUGAUGUUGUACAAGUGUUCUCAUUUACCUGUAAGAAUUUUUAAAUCUCCUUUUAGAUGUCUUGUGUAAUCCAUUGUUCAUUCCAUAGCAUAUUGUUUAGUCUCUAGGUAUUGGAGUAGCUUCUAUUUUUUAUUUUAUCAUUGAUUUCUAAUUUCUUUCCAUUAUAAUCUGAUAGAAUGCAGGGUAGUCUCUCUAGUUUUUUGUAUUUGCUAAGAGUCGUUUUGUGGCAUAAUAUAUGGUCUAUUUUAGAGAAGGAUCCAUGUGCUGCUAAGAAGAAAGUGUAUUCACUCAUUGAUGGAUGAAAUAUUGUAUAAUACACUUGUUAAGUCUAAGUUGUUGAUUGUAUUAUUGAGUUCUAUAGUUUCUUUGUUUAUCUUUUGUUUGGAAAUCUAUCCAGUGGUGAGAGAGGUGUGUUAAAGUCACCAGUAUUGUUGUGUUGUGGUCUAUUUGAUUCUUGAACUUGAGAAGAGUAUGUUUGAUGAACAUAGAUGUUCCAUUUGGGGGGCAUAUAUACUUAUAAUUGUUAUGUCUUGUUGAUGUAUGGUUCUCUUGAGCAGUGUAAUAUCCUUCUUUUUUUUUUUUAUUAACUUUGGCUUGAAGUCUAUUUUAUUUGAUAUGAGGAUGGAAACCCCUGCUUGUUUCUGCAAUUCAUGUGAGUGGAAUUUCUUGCCCCAAACUUUCAUCUUUAGUCUGUGGAUGUCUUUUCCUAUGAGAUGAGUCUCUUGAAGGCAGCAUAUUGUUGGGUCUUUUUUUUAAAAAAUCCAAUCUUCCUUCUAUAUCCUUUGAUUGGUGAGUGCAGGCCAUUAACCUUCAGGGUUUUGAUUGAGAUAUGAUUUGUAUUCCCAGUCAUUUUUGUUUAUUUUUGAUAUUAAACUUGACUUGGUUUCUUCUUUUAUUGGGUUUUUCUUUAUGUAAUACCUCUCUUUGCUGAUUGUCAUUGUUGUUUUUCAUCUCCUCCUCAUGGAGUAUUUUGCCAAGGAUUAUCUGUAGUGCAGGCUUUGUAGUUGUAAAUUCUUUUAACUUUUGUUUAUCAUGGAAGGUUUUUAUUUCAUCAUCAAAUCUAAAGCUUAAUUUUGCUGGAUAUAUGAUUCUUGGUUGGGAUCCAUUUUCUUUCAGAGCUUGGUAUAUGUUGUUCCAGCUUUCAGGGUCUAAGUUGAAAAAUCUGCAGAAAUCCUCAUUGAUUUCCCCCUAUAUGUAAUCUAAUUCUUUUCUCUUGUGGCCUUUAAAAUUCUCUCCUUAUUCUAUAUGCUAGGCAUUUUCAUUAUAAUGUGUUUUGGUGUAGAUCUGUUGUGAUUUUGUACAUUUGGUGUCCUGUAAGCCUCUUGUAUUUGAUUUUCUAAUUCAUUCUUCAUGUUUGGAAAAUUUUCUGAUAUUAUUUUAUUGAAUAGGUUGUUCAUUCCUUUGGUUUGUAUCUCUGUGUCUUCCUCCAUACCAAUAAUGCUUAAAUUUGGUCUUUUUAUGUUAUCCCAUAAUUCUUGAAUGUUCUGCUUAUGGUAUUUUACCAUCUCACUGUGUGGUCAACUUUAUUUUCAAGAUUAUAUAUUUUGUUUUCAUUGUCUGAGGUACUGUCUUCCAAGUGAUCUAAUCUGUUGGUGAUGUUUUCUAAUGAGUUCUUAAUUUGGUUUAUUGUUUCCUUCAUUUCAAGGAUUUUUUUAAGAACCUCUAUCUCCUUAUUAAAGUAAUCUUUUGCUUCCUGUAUUUGCUUAUGUAGCUCUUUAUCAAAGUGAUCUUUUGCUGCCUAUAUUUGCUCUUAUAUAUAUCAUCCUUUAAUUCUCAGAUCAUUUUAAUUAUGUACAUCCUGAACUCGUUAUCUGUAAUUUCUUCUUCCAUGCUGGCCAUGGAUUCUAAUAAUGUCAUAUCUUCAUUUGUUUGGGGCACUUUCUUCCCUUGUUUAUUCAUGUUGUUCGUGUCUUCCCUUCUAGCACUUUGGAUCCGAGAUGUUACAGGUUUUUUGUUUUUUUUUUCGUUGUUGAUAGACCUUUUUAUUUUAUUCAUUUACUUAUACGUGGUGCUAAGAAUCGAACCCAGUGCCUCAUACAUAUCAGGCAAGCGCUCUACCACUGAGCCACAAUCCCAGCCCUGAUGUAACAGUUUUUUCCCUAUAGGCUUAUAUUGUCCCUACAGGGUUCUAGUACCUCUCCUUUAAGGGAGAGAACAAUAUUAACAGAUCCCAAUACAGAAAAUAUACAUCCUUAAAGCAAAUAGCUGCUAUUAAGAUGUUUAGGGUUUUGUCACAAUAUGCAGAAAUGGUGAGUUCAAUUAUUAUCUACAAUAUAAACAGUAGGUUUGCAAAAGGGCGUACAGUUUCUGAUGGUGGACAAAGAAAGAACCAGGGAUGGGGUGUAGGAUGGGAGAUUAAGGAGGUAGGAGGUGAGAAUAUAGUUGUUAGAUCUUAGGAAGUGUGAAAGAGGAAUCUAAAGAAGUUGGCUAGUAGCAGGAGAAAAAAGAGAAAGUGAUUUUGGGGAGACAAGUAAGUGGGAAGACAGUAGAGAGAGUACAACAAACAAACAAACAUAAAAAUUAAGAAAAAAAAUGUGGAAAUAGGAGCAAGAAUAUACAACACAACUGUAAUAUACUAUUGAGAUAUCCCAGUCCUCAGUAGCCUAAUUCAUGAAAAGUCCUUAGUUCACAAAUGUUGGGGAUAUGAGUGCGGGAGAAGAGAGAGAGUGAAAAGAAAAGAAGAGAGAGAGAGAGAGAGAGAGAGAGAGAGAGAGAGAACAAAAAGUUCUUGAAGGAAAAUACAAGGAUUGUUUUGUUGGAGUUCAGUAUCUUUCCUGCUUCACUUCUCAUCUAAUAGGUGGAGUUGUCUGUUGAUUACUGGUAUCUCCACCCUCAGAAUAGUGAAGGUUAUUAGGGUGGGAGAGUUGAUCUUGGGGGUGGAGCUCCUGGUUGGGGGCUAUAGCACUUGCUGGUCCCCGAUGGGAGACUGCACCCCAAGGAUCUCCUUUGGGGCCUGCUUGUAUGAUGUGGGCACCUUGUGUUAUCUCCUUGUAUCACCUGUAGACUUUACAAUUCCUAGUCUCUAAUUUAGUCUCUAAACUAUAUCUGACUCACCCCUCCCUUUCUACUUCACAAUCAGGAACCUCUGUCUCUGGAGGGCUUGAGGGCUACACUCUGAGGGCUGUGCAUCUGUCAUGGAGAGCUGUUUUGUAGUGGGCAGGUCAGGGCUAGGUGCAGCCACAAAGCAUUGUGCGAGGGUUAUUGGCUGCAGGGGAUGAGGGGGGUUAGUUGGGGACCAUAGGCACCUUGAUAUUGCUUAUAGACUCCAACUGGUGUCCCAAGCUGGGAGUUUCCCCAACUAAAGAUGGCGACAAAGGUGUCCUAAGAUGGAGGCAGCUGCUUUCAGAAACAGGUGUGGGUUCGGGUCGGGCUGGAUGGUGGCAUUGGCAGUAUGUUCAGAGAUACAGCUCUGUGGCAUGCAGUUUUGUGGCUGGUGGCUGUCUCCAGACCCUGUCCUGUGUCUCCAGGUGCAGGCUACCACAUGUAGGGCACUAUGGUAGUGGUUGCAGUGUCCCAAGUUGGGGCGACCUGGGGAGCCCCAUGUUGAUAGUUGGGGGGUCCCCGCGGAAAUGGUGGCCAUAGGUCUAGUGUAGGCAGGGGCCGGGUAUCCUGAGAGGGAUCGGAGGCCAGGACUCCUGCAUGGGUGGGUGGCCAGGGGUCCUGUGUGGGCCAGCGGCUGGGAGUUCUGCGCUGAUGCUGAGACCUGGAGUGAUAUGUUUUUUUUUUUUUAUUAAUUUUUUUUUACACAAAUGGAACACAACUUUUCAUUUCUUUGGUUGUACAUGCUGUAGAGUCACACCAUUCGUGCAAUCAUACCCAUACAUAGGGGUAAUAAUGCAUCUAAUUCUACCAUCUCCCCCCAACACUCUCCCUCCCUUCCCCUUCCUCUCCUCUCUCCCUUCUACUUAUCCAAAGUUCCUCCAUUCUUCCCUUGUGCAACCCCCACCCCAGCCCAUUAUGGAUCAGUAUCCACUUAUGAGAGAAAACAUUUGGCCUUUGGUUUUUUUUGGAUUGGCUUAUGUUGCUUAGCAUGAUAUUCUCCAACUCUGUCCAUUUACCUGUAAAUGCCAUAAUUUCAUUCCUCAGAUUUUUUUAACAAAAAAUAUUCAACAUAUUUCCAGAAAAAAACACUACAAGAUAACAAAAACACCCAUUCUAAGAAUUUAUCAUUGUGCCUCGAAUUAAGUAGGAAGUUAAGAUUUACAGCCUCAGGAAAAGCAAGAUGACAAUUACAGUAUAAAACUCUCAGAAAUAGGAACUUAAUAGAAAUCUGUACACUUAAGAGGAAAGGAAAAUAUCACAUGAGUUUCCUCUUACAGUGUCAGUAAAUAAUUUAUGAAAGAACACUGAAAACAGAAUUCAGAAAGACUGAAAACACAGCCUUGGAUGUACCUUUCCUGGAAAAACAAUCAUGACCUGUAUACCUGGGUGUAUGUGGGCAUACACACACACACACACACACACACACACACACACCUGCAAUGGUUUUUUCUUUCUUCCUGUAACUUCUGAAAUUACCAAGAGGUCAAAUUUACUUCGCUUCUAAUUCUUUUUGGUCCAUUGUAUCUAAACAACCCUCAUUUUAUCAUUUAUUACCGUAGUCCUUGAUUUAGACAGUUAAAAGGUCUAUAACAUAACUCCAUAAUACAGUUAGAUUUUAUCACAAAUUAUUUUACAAUUUCACAUUUUAUCUCCCCAACUGUGUUGUGAGUUUUUAAAAUAAGAUCUUGAGUAUUACUCUGAUUUUGGGUAUCAGAACUCACUGAUUUAAGAAGUGAUGCAUACUGUAAAUCUUCUAUAAAAACAUGUUUUGUUGAGUGAACUGCUACUUUUAAUGUAUAUAAUUAGUGGUGUUUUUUUUCUACUUUCAGUAUUAACUUAGAGAAAAUUCUCUAUAUUCCUAAAACCAUCUCAAAAUCCCAUUGAUGUUCAAACCACACACAUUGACAUUUUUAUUUGAAAAUUUACCAUGUACUCUUUGGAAAUAACAUGCAUUUAGUUUAUGUAAUGAAUUGUAAAUUACAUUUCCACAUUUAUAUUUCUUGUAGCCAUAUUUUGUAGCCAUAUUUUAUAGCUAUAUUGUGAGCAGUUUGACAAUAGAGAUCCAAGAAAACUUGAAACCUGAGUCAGAGGCCUGACUUAGAACUGUGGUUCAGCCACUGACUGAUUAGGGGUCCUGACACCAUGCCUGGUAGGUGCUCCAUAGAUGUUUGUGGGGUAAAAUAAUAAAUAAACAAAUACUUAAGCCCUCUAUAUCUCAGUGUCUUUAUCUAUUAAAAGGAGUUGCAAUGAAUAAAAUAAAAAAAUAAAAUAAAAUUUAAAAAAGGAGUUGCAAUUAUAUCUAACUUGGAGGAAUGUUGCAAGGAAUAAAAAGCAUAAUAUAUUAAACAUAAUAACCUAUCAGGUAAAAUGUUGAUUUCAGGACAUUCCAUAGGAAUUUGCCUGCUUUUCGUUUUCCCUCAGAUUUAGGGCAUUUUCUUUGUUGGGAUUCCAAAAACAUCUUUCUUUUUCUCUUUAAAAUAAAAUAAACCAAAUUUAUCUUUUAUUUCUCUUCUCACUAUACCCCAUUUAUUGCCAGAGCAUGCUUGUUGGUAUGUUCGCCACUUUAUUGUUAAUGUCCUUCUCUAGAUAUCCAACCACUCCGUGCAUUUUUCAUCUCUAUGAACCAUGUGCCUCUUGCACAGAAUCUGCCUACCCACUUGGGCUUUCUGAGGAUGACUACAUUUAGGUUGCAUACACAUGGGCUAUAUUGCUAAGUCACUGCUGUGAGUCAAUCUCAGGAAAAGAGGAAAUAAUUUCUGCAGCCACCCCACCCUACUCCUAAUGGCAAGAUAAGGAGAGUGAACUUUCCUUUCCUUUGUGGGGGUAUUGGAGGGACACUGGCAGAAACUGGUGGGAAAUUCCUGGGAAGUGCAUUGGUUCCUUAGGGAGGUCUAUUAACUUCUUCAAGAUAAAAGGGCUUCUUCUUAAGAAGUUUUGUGAUAUUCAAGUGCACACAAAUUUUCAAGUACGUAAGGCCACUGAAGAAAAUUGUUAAAAAUUCAGAUUUUUGCAGGAUCCUCCUACAAGAAGAUUCCCUUGUUAGGGGUAGUGCCUAGAAUCUGCAUUUAACAAUCACAACUUUCCCCUCUCCCAUUAUAUUGAUGCAAAUGAUUCUCUGCAAUUCAGGAAGGACUAUUAGUCUACCAAGAAUUGGUCAGCACUAUUCAUGGCAAAGCCAAGUCCAUCCAAAAGCCAAGUAUAAUACUAAUCAGGUUGGCAGGAUGAUAGGUUUCUUGCUCAGUUGGUUUCUUUGGAAACAUUAAUUCUAGUAGAACCAGAGCAAUUAAUAGAUUUAGCCAUUUGGAUCUUCAGUGGUGUAGAUGACGAACUCAAGACCACCCAAAAUUGUGCCUAGUUUUAGGUGACUCACUGUAAGGGUGUUCUAAAAUAUGUUCAGAAAAAGAAGAACCAGAUUUAAGAAAAUAGACAUGAAGAUCAAAGGAAUAGAAGAGAAGACAUAGAGACAGGCCCACAUAAAUGCAGUUAUCUAAUCUUAAGACAAAGGAGACAAAAAUAUAUAUUGGGGAAAAGAUAGCCUCUUCAACAAAAUGGUACUGGUAAAACUGGAAAUUCUUAUGUAGUAGAAUGAAAUUUAACCCCUAUCUCUCAUCCUGCACAAAACUCAACACAAACUGGAUCAAAGACCUAGAAAUUAGACCAGAAACCCUACAUCUGCUAGAAUAAAAUGUAGGCCCAACCUUCCAACAUAUUGGCUCAGGAAUUGAAUUUCUUAACAAGACUCCUAAAGCACGAGAAGUAAAAUUUAAAAAUCAAUUAGUAUCAAAUUGAAAAGCUUCUUCACAGCAAAGGAAACAAUCUAGAUCAUGAAGAGAGACCCUACAGAAUGGGAGAAAAUCUUUGCCACCUGCACGUCAGAGUGUUUAUAUCCAGGAUAUGCAAAGAACUCAAAAUUCUUAACACCAAAAACAAACAAACAAACAAACAAACCAAACAAUAAAUGGGCAAAGGAAUGAAACAGACACUUCUCAAAAGAAGAAAUAAAAACUGUUAACAGAUAUCUGAAAAAAAUUCAAUAUCUCUAGCAAUUAGAGAAAUGCAAAUUAAAACUACAUGGAGAUUUCAUCUCACUGCAAUCAGAAUGGCAAUUAUCAAGAAUACAAGUAACAAUAUAUAUUGCUGGUGGGACUACAAAUUGGUGAAACCAUUCUGGAAAGCAAUAUGGAGAUUCCUCAGAAAAUUUGGAAUGGAACCACCAUUUGACCCAGUUAUUCCACUCUUUGAUACAUAUCCAAAGGAUUUAAAAUCAGCAUACAACAGGGACACAGUCACAUCAAUGUUUAUAGCAGCACAAUUCACAAUAGCUAAGCUAUGGAUCCAACAUAGGUGCCUUUCAACAUUGGAAUGGAUAAAGAAAAUGUGCCAUAUAUGCACAAUGGAGUGCUACUCAGCCAUAAAGAAGAAUGACUUUACAUCAUUUUCUUGCAAAUGGAUGGAUCUGAAGAUCACCAUGCUAAGUGAAAUAAGCCAAUUCCUCAUGCUUUCAAAAAAACCAAAACCAAAACAAAACCCACAAUGGUCAAAUGUUUUCUCUGAUAUGUGGAAGCUAACCCACAAUAAGGGGUGGGGAAUAAAUAUUCAGUAGAUUAGAUGAAGGGGAAUGAAGGGAAGGGAUGGGGAUAGGAAAAGGAAAGACAGUGGAAUUAAUUUGAAAUAACUUUCUUAUGUAUAUAUAUGAAUGGUGAGUGAAUCUCACCAUUGUGUACAUCCACAAGAAAUUAAUUUAAAAAAAAAACUAUGGACAAAUGGCAGAAAGAUCAAUAGAGGGAAGGGAGCAGGAGGUGAGGGGAGGAAAGGGGAAGGAGAGGUACUGGGGUCUAUAUUAGAACAAGAUAUACUCCAUGCUUGUAUAAUUAUGCCGAAAUGGACUCUAAAAAGAAUCAACUAAAAAGAAUCAAUUAAAAAAUGACAUGUAUAAAGAAGGUGAAAGAUAAAAACUCGGAAGUCCAUGGGGAAAAGGGCCAUCUUCAUAUAGCUGAAUGUCACCAGCCAGAGAGGUUCGCAUUCAUGUAUGUGGCUCCAAAGGCAAAGCACAUCUAUCCCAGCAAUCUGUCCCAAUCUACACCCCACCACACUGUGCAUCUAGCUCAGUGAAUUGUCUCACAAACAUCACUAGGAUGCAAAUGACAAAUCCACCCAGACAGGUAGCACUGGACAAAUGAUAAGCCCAGUCACUCUGGCCUUGAAGAAGAAUAACCGGACAAGUAAUUUUUAGAAUCAAUAAACUCCCAUGGAGACCAGCACCAUACUCUGUAGAAAGUAGAGACACACUUUUAUCACAGCAACCCUGCAAGUCUGUGGCCCACUCCACUGCCACUGUCCCCGCCACCCUCCUCCCCAGCCCAAUGCCUCUUUGCAUCAUAAAGAAAGGAGGAAAGGCAUAAGAAAGAGAGAGGGAGGAAAAGUUCUUCUCUUUUUUGUCUAUUUAAGCCAUCCUUGGUCCUUGGGACCAAAGUCUUUUCUUGAGGGAUCAUUCCCAAGAUUUGAACCUAUGUCCAUAAACUGCCGCCAAUGUGCCCAGCACCACUUCUGCUUUGUGGUGACCAUCUCUCACUGCAUGCUUCUCAUGACUCCCCCAACAUGGUCCUGGCCUUGUUGCCUACCUCAUGAAUAUUAGGCUCUCUGUGCCUUUCAUUAGGUUCAUCUGAUUAAUCCAUCCAUGGAACUAUACUUUGAACAGAGGUCCUUACUCUCUAGAGAUUACAAGAGUAUUUGCACCAUUCUUUCAGAGAAAAGGCCAGUGAUUUUGUUGUCUUCCCAAAGGAGUGAGUCUUUUGGCAUCUCAACAUAGGCAGGCUAACCUCUGGGUUGCACAGAAGUCUCCUGAGUGAGAAGUGGUAGAAGACAGAAUAUAAGAACUUUGGCUCUCCCACUAAGAAGACUGUGUUCCAAUCCUGAACUUGCUGAUUAAUGGAUAUGUGUACUUCAGCAAAUCAUUUACUUUCCCCAAGUUUCCUUUUAUAUAGGAUGAAAUGAUAAUUCUUAUUAUCAUUUUCAUCCUAUAUAAAAGGAAAUUGAAUCAUGCAUCACAUUUGGCAUACUGCUGGGUAUAUAGUAAGCACUCACAAGUGUUUACUGGUCUCAUUCUUUUCAUGAUUACGUAUGUCCCAUUUCACUAUGAAUCAUAGGAAUAGCAACAUAUCUGAUACUAUGACCCACCCAGCAUGGAUCUUUCUCAGGAAGUGUUUUUACUUUAACAUUUCUGCUGGUUGCUGGAAGCCAGAGAUCUUGACAUUUGAUUCUUCUGGACAAUACACAGAUUGUGAAUGAUGGAUUUGAGCUUUUCUUAAUUUUUUAGUUGGCUCAAUCUUGUUUGAACAACUUGGAAAAUCAUAGAGAUACUCGGAGUUGAACAUUUGUUUGUUGAAGUUUUACUUAAUCUUCUUAAGAGAACUAUAGUGCCAGAUAAAUAACUCCAGAAUAGGAAGGUUUCAUUCUUUCAUAAUAGAGAAAUCAUCUCAGUAUGUGAAUUUGGAAUCCUAGUAGCUUUUAACUCUCUUUCUUCUCCUCUGUUUUCUUUUAUUUUAGGAAUGAUUUCAUUUGUAAAAUUAUCAGUAUGGAAAUAAUGCUUAUUACUAUUAUAAGAAAACUGAGCCAAUCACAACAUAUAUAGGUAAAAACAGAAGUUCUGCUUCUUGUGUAUUUCCCUUUAAACUUUUAUAUGAAGUCAUGUACAGAAAUAAACACAUUUAUUUUUGCAGAGUAAUGGGGUAAUGAUCUAGACACUUUGGUAGACACUACUAAUUGCCUAUCCAAUAUCUAUCUUCUUUUAUUUUUUUAAUGUAUAUUUUUUAGUUGUCAAUGGACCUUUAUUUUAUUUAUUUAUAUGUGGUGCUAAGAAUCGAACCCAGUGCCUCGCACAUGGCUAGGCAAGUGCUCCUACCACUUAGCUACAACCCCAGAUUUCUUUUCUUUUCUUUUUUAAAGUAUUUUUUAGCUAUAGAUGGACACAUAUCUUUAUUUUGUUUAUUUAUUUUUAUGCAGUGCUGAGGAUCGAACCCAGUGCCUCACAUGUGUGAGGCAGGCACUCUGCCACUAAGCUACAGCCCCAGCCCUUAUUUUUUUUUUUAUUAAUAGAAUCUACAAUUUUGUUCCAAGCAGCCAUGUACCCAAUUCAAAAAUCUGCUUUUCCUCACCUUCAUUAUAAUGAGGGAUACUCCAGUGUUAUAGUUCCAGCUAAUGAGAUGGAAGCAAAAUUCUGCUGAGAAUUUCUAAAAGUUUUGCUCUGCUGAUGUAAGCAAGCACCAUUCCUGCCUCUCCACCUUUCCUCUGUCCUGACUGGAAAGAGAAUGAAAGCCUGGAGAAGGAAUCCUGUGACUAUGAGGUGACAGUGAUGACCAACUCUCCCCAUCCAGGACCACAGAAGGGAAGUAGAUCUCUGAGAGAGUCUGUAGUGCUCUGUAUCAAGUGCUCCUCGAGUUUCUGCCCUUUGAUUCUUGUUAUGAGAGAAAUAUAAGUCUUACCAGCUUAAAGCAGUGUCACAAUUCGAUUAUAGCUGUGUUGACAUAUUGAUCCUUUCAGUCUUAUGAGUUGAGUACAGAAGGAAGGGUGAGGAGUCCUGCUAGGAGAGGCCCUUGGUUAAUUGCUUUGGGCCACAAAUAGACCUUAUUUUUCACAUUUUAUACAAACAUUAUAAUUUUCAAUGCAUAUCAUGACCUGAAAAAGAAAUUAUAUCUUCAUAUGUAGAUUUCCAUAACAUUUGAAUCAAUUCUGAUUGUUACAUCCAUUGGUUCUCAUUUUCCUUUUUAUACCACAGUACCUUGAGUAUCCAUUCAUUUAUAUUUCCUUCAAAACAGCAGUAUAGUUCUCUAAGCCAUGAAUAUAGUAUGGCGUUCUCUUCUUAAAGGUUUUUUCAUUUCCUGUCUCUCUCUCAUUCUUUCUAUCUCUGUCUCUGUCUGUUUCUCUCGUUCUCUCCCCCUUCUCCACUCCCUGAUCUCUAUGUUCAAAUAGUACUGCACUGAAUAUCUCUGUGAAUAUUUGUACGCUUUUAUAAAGAAUAUUCCCUCAGAAAAAAAUCACAAAACAUGAAUUUCUCAUUGAAGGAUAUGUGUAUUUAAAAUGUUAGCUCACCACUGACAUAAUGAAAUUCCUUUCAAACUGUGAUACCGAUAUAUAUUUCUACCACUCAUGUAUAAGCUGCCUGUUUUCUCAACUCUAACUCCUAUGGAGUAUAAUCCAUCUUUUUAUUUUGUAUAAAUCUUAGUUUUCUGCCUUACCUUCUUUGGCCUGGGAGUUGGAUGCCGAGAUGGAGAGGUACAAAAUUUUCAGUUCAGUCACACGACUGAGACUUGAAUCCUGGAAAAAGCCUCAUCAUGAAGCAAUGUCUCCUGGACUCCUUCUGUGGCUCUAUAUGUACCACCCACUUCUACUCUUUGAGAGGCCUUGGGAAGAUGCACUUUAUAUCUCUGGAGAAAACUGUCAACUAUGGCUUACAACAUGAGGUGUUGGUGAGGACUGGAGAAAUGGGUUCUCUCUUACAAUGCUGUCAUUUAUGUUAAUUGGUAUAAACCAUUUUAGAAAAGUAAUUCAGUAAUGUGAAUCGAACAUCUAAAAGUGUAUUCACUCUCUGUCCCAACAUUUUUAAAGAGUCCUGAUAGGUAUAAUAUCGAAUAUUUAUUUAUAAGGAUGUUUGCUGCAAUAUUAUACAGAAUAGAAAAAAUUCUGGGAAAACAAAUAGAAAUUAUCUUUGUUAAAUAGUCUAUUUGAUGCCCGUAUAUUUGAAUAGUAUUUACUUAGUUAUUUAAAAUGCCAUAUUAAAGUAGAAAUUGUUAGUUAGCUUUGCUUCACUAUGAUCAAAGUACCUGAAAAGAACAACUUAGAAGAGGAAAGACUUAUUUUGGCUCAUGGUUUCAGAGGAUUCAGCCCCUGGUCAGCUGACUCCAAGACAGAAACAUCAUGGUGGACAUGUGGGCAGAGGAAAGUUUCUCAGGGUAUGGUAGCGAGGGAGCAGAGAGAGAAAGAGAGAGGAAAGGAUCAGGGAUAAGUUAAUCCUUCCUGGGCAUGCCUCCACCAGCUUACUUCAUCCAGUUAGGUCCCACCUCCAAGUAGUUCAUCCAAUCAAUGGAUUAAUCUAGUCACUGCCUAAAAGCCUCAACUCUGAACUUGGCUGCAUUGGAGACCAUGUUUUCAACAGAUGAGCAUUUGGGGGACAUUCCAGAUCUAAAGCAUAACAGAAAUUUAUUUGAGAAAUGUUAAGAGACAAAAGAAGAUACAAAAGAAUAUGUGUAAUAUGAUCCCCAUUUUGAAGUACUUGUGGAAGAUAUUUACACCAAAAUAUUCAUGGCAAUUAUCAAAGAUGGUUGAGAUCAUGAAUUUUUUUUAAAAAAUCUAAAUUUGUUCUAAUUAGUUACAGAUGACAGUAGAAUAAAUGUUGAAACAUUAUACACAAAUGGAGCACAACUUCUCCUUCCUCUGGCUGAACAUGGUGUAGAGUCAUAUCACUAGAGUAAUGCAGAAGGGAGUGAGGGGAGGUGAGAUCAUGAAUUUUUAUUGAUUUUCUUUGUCCUUAUUUGGUAGUUUAAAUUUAUGUAUUUUAAGUAGUUAUUCUUAAAUAUAAAUUAAUUAAAUAAUGUUAAAUAAAAAUAAAAUAGUAGUGAUCUGCAUUUAGAUUUCCUGUGAAA
This 57385-nucleotide long non-coding RNA is filed under the name Marmota monax (woodchuck). Lineage: Eukaryota; Metazoa; Chordata; Mammalia; Rodentia; Sciuridae. The record is from RNAcentral.